This 78587-nucleotide long non-coding RNA is filed under the name Cucumis sativus (cucumber). Its description in RNAcentral is "long non-coding RNA (CSAT_LNC003024)". The record is from RNAcentral. Lineage: Eukaryota; Viridiplantae; Streptophyta; Magnoliopsida; Cucurbitales; Cucurbitaceae.
UUUUUUGAACGGUAAUCUUGAAGAGAGCAUCUAUAUGUCUCAACCAGAGGGGUUUAUAAAACAAGAUCAAGAACAAAAGGUUUGUAAGCUUAAAAAAUCCAUUUAUGGAUUAAAACAAGCUUCUAGAUCCUGGAAUAUAAGAUUUGAUAUUGCGAUCAAAAUCUUAUGGCUUUGAACAAAAUGUUGACGAGCCUUGUGUUUACAAAAGGUCGUCAAUUCCAUUAUAGCAUUUUUUAGUCUUAUAUGUAGAUGAUAUUCUACUUAUUGGAAAUGACGUAGGAUAUCUUACUGAUAUCAAGAAAUGGCUAGCUAUGCAAUUUCAAAUGAAAGAUCUGGGAGAUGCACAAUACGUUCUCGGAAUCCAAAUUGUUCGAAACCGUAAGAACAAAACACUAGCCAUGUCUCAAGCAUCUUACAUAGACAAAAUGUUGUCUAGAUAUAAAAUGCAGAAUUCCAAAAAGGGUCUGCUGCCGUACAGAUAUGGAAUUCAUUUGUCAAAGGAACAAUGUCCUAAGACACCUCAAGAAGUUGAGGAUAUGAGAAAUAUUCCCUAUGCUUCCGCUGUUGGAAGUUUAAUGUAUUCAAUGUUAUGUACUAGACCUGACAUUUGCUACUCAGUAGGGAUGGUCAGUAGGUAUCAAUCCAAUCAUGGACGUGAUCACUGGACAGCCGUUAAAAACAUUCUACAUGCUCAUGUAUCGUACAAAGGAUAUGAUCCUUACUGGAUACACUGAUUCGGAUUUCCAAACUAAUAAAGAUGUUAGAAAGUCUACAUCAGAAUCAGUAUUUACUCUAAAUGGAGGAGCAGUAGUUUGGAGAAGCAUAAAGCAAACUUGUAUAGCUGAUUCCACAAUGGAAGCUGAUCAUUUUACAAAAGCCCUCACGGCUAAAGUGUUUGAGGGUCACCUACACAGUUUAGGUGUACGAUGUUUGUAAACUAGGACAAGUGGGAGACUUAUUGGCCAUGUUUCAUAUAUAUUCUCUCACACCACAUCUCUCAUACCACUAGGAAUUUUAGUCCAAGUGGGAGUUUGUUGGAAUUUUUUGUCCUAAAACUCGUAGUUUGUAAAUCAUAUUCUAUUCAAUAAAGUUGUUAUUGAGAAAUUAAAUAUUAUAAUCUUAAAUCCAAUAAAUCAAAGUUCCAAGGCUAUUUUUUGAAUAAACUUGAACUUUAUGUGUAAACAUAAACGUGGAUCAAGUUCGAGUAUAUAGCCUAAAUAGUCUAUAGUAUAUGAAAUAAAGGUUGGGCGCCUUAUUUUGAGAGACUAUGGAUGCGGCCCACUUUGUAGUACAAACGAUGUGAUCCUAAUCGUUCAUGUAGAGACAUGAAAGUGGGGGCAUCCUAUGUAAAAUGUUUACAUAAGACUGAACCAUGAAUUAGUCAUUUUUACGUUAUAACAUCGUUUACUGUUUAAAACUGACUAUCUCAAUUAUUGAUGACCUAGGUAACUUAGUCUUAAUCCUGAGUUAACUAUGAACUCCUGUUCAUACGAGAUUAUCCUUAGAUCUGCAUAGGUGAGGGCAGCUCAUCAGCGUUGGCCCAAUAAGCCUCCCAUUUCAGGGGUAAGAUCGGGUGGAUAGCUGGGAACAUAGGGUACAAGAUGGAAUUCACUCCUACCCGCUUUAGGGUUAGUAGAUAGGUUGCUCUCUUAAGCACUAAAUCCAAGUCUUGAACAAGGGGCCCCACCCUCUCAUUGGCCCGAGAGGGAUUAAGUUUAUAGGUUGAACCUUAAACCAAUUGUUCAAUAGUGGAUUAGUGGGACUUAAGGAGCAAGAUGUAAUCUUGGGGGUAAAACGGUAUUUUGACCCAGCCAAGGUUACGAGCAACCUGUGAAGGAUUAACUUACUGAUUAUGGUUUUAUCAAAUGGACACAAAUAUAUCUAUAGUGAGGGGAGUGCAACUACGGGACUUUAGUGGAAUGACCCGUUAGUUAACGAAUGUUGAUUAACUCGGUUUAAAAGAGUUUAGCUAGUUAAUCUUGAAUCGUUGGAGCCCAUGAUCUAUAGGUCCAUUAGGUUCCUCUGCUAGCUCAUAUGGAUUAAACUUAGAACAGUGUGAUGAAAUAAGUCGAAUUGUUCGAAUUGGGAGAAGAAAGGAAAACCGACAUAUACAGUGAUAUAAUCGUCGAUCUUCUAAUUAGAAAUAGAGCUUUAUGUUUUACAUACUAUAAGUAUGAAUGCGGAUUCAUACUAAGAAGCUCGAAAUUGGUCAAAAAUAGUAAAAAGUCAAAAUGUUGACUUUUGACUUUGAAAAGUCAAACUUUGACCGGCCUUAUAUUCAAAUGUGAUUUGAAUUUUGGAAAAAUGAAUGCGGAUUCAUGCUCGGGAGGUUGGAAUUAGUCAAGACGGACAAAAUGGUAAAAAGUCAAAAUAUUGACUUUUGACUUAGAAAAGUCAAAGUUUGACUUUUGACUAGAAAAAUCUAAUGACCAUUUUACCCUUGGACUAAGUUAGUGGGAAAAUCCAACAUUUUGUUGGAUAAUCCCACUAACUCUUAGUGGGAUAUGUGGCUAUAUGAGAUAUAGACACCUAGCCCACUAAGUUCCACUAAUUGUUAGUGGAAUAUUAGGUGUUGAGAUUUGGCAAUUGAAUUGCAUGCAUUUUUGCAUGUAAUUAGGCUAUAAAUAGAGAUGUUUUCAAAUGUUGAAGGACUUUUGCCUCUUUUAUCAUUUUCAUAAUCUCAACAAAAGAAAAAAGAAAGCUUCCAAUCUCAUUUUAUCUCCAUUACUUUCUACACCAAAAUUGGGUCCCACAACCCGGUUCUUUGUCUAGAGGAUAGCAGUUGAGUACUAGUGGUGGUCUCGGGUAGAAUUGGUAAGAAGACAUCAAACCUUUUGAAAGCUUCAAAGGUAAUACUUCUUAAAACCCUAAUUUGAUUAGUUUAUAGUUACAUGUUAAUUGUGGCAAUUAGGGUAGAAAUUCGAUUCUUUUUCCGCUGUGCAUGACUUAGUUCUAUCAGCACACACACAUCUACACACACAUGCACACACGCAUACACGCACACACACAUACGCACACACACAUCAACUCACACGGGCAAACGCGCACUCGCACAUAUGCACACACACGCACACACGUACAUAUGCACAAAGAUGUGAAAAUGAAUUAAAUUUAAAAAACAAUUACAUUAAUUGUGUUUAGAAUGACUUUUAAACUAUAUUCAUUUAACUUAAUAACAUUAAUUAAAUUAUAAUUUCUAUUAAUAUUGAUUUAAGAGUGUCAUUACUGUAAUUAUAUCAAUAUAAUGCGGUCUUAUCCAAUUUUACCAACAAAAAACAAGUCAAAUAUGGACUAGUAAAUCCACACUCUUUGUCAUAAGAGAUAUAAUAACGUUUUUAUGGGUCAUUUUAAAAAAAAUGACAAAACAACUUUUUCUUUUGAAUUUUAGCAAAUAGCAUUUUUUAUUUGAAAAAGAUACAUCAACCCAUAAUAACACUACAACAAAUCUGGGUUUGUAGUGUCAGGUGAAAAAAAUGAAAAAUUAUCUUUAUUGUCGUUUUUGAAAAGGUGGAUCAAACCGACAUUAAUGAUAAGGGUUUAAUGUCGUUUUUAAAUCGACAUUAAUGAUCAGCCAGUUUUAUUUUUUUAAUUUUUUGUAUUUUGUAAAAAAGGACAUUAAUUACCCCCCAUUUUUAAUUUCUUUUUAAAAAAUUGUUAGGUUUUAAAAACUAAAUUUUUCAUCUCUUUCUUACUCUACUCUUUCCCUAUCAAUUUUUCUUUUCUUUCUCUCCAAGUUGGUUUCUAAUUUUGUUCUCUUCUCAAUCUGUGACCCUAGAUCGCGAACGGCAACCAAUCUUCAUCGUGCUUCCGCCGCAAAAAUCCUUGGGUUUCUUCAUUUGAUUGUUAACUUGUGACUGCUAGGUAGCAUUAUUGAUUAUUAAUUGUCUUUAUUUUUUCAAAUGUGCAGCCUUAUUCAUACUACCUUUUGUUAGAAAAAUGAAAGAAGAGAAGGCAUAGAAAUGAGCUUGGUAACUAGCAUUCUUGUAGGUGGAUUUGCCAAAAUGGAAAAUGUAGAGUAAGUAAUUUUGGUAUAGCUAUUUGGAGUGUUAUGUGAAGCACAAUAUCUUCAUAAUGUGAUGCGUUUUGGUUUUCGAUUGAGAUCAAUCUUGGUAAUUAAUUGUUUUGAAUUGUGUUUUAUUUUAUCUUUUAGUAGUAAAUGUUUUUGUUUUCUUUAGUUUAGUUUGAGUAUUAGUCUGUUUUGAUAUAUUUGUAGGUUGCAUCUAUUUAUCCAUAUAUUUAUCUUUGAUCAAUACCUAGCUAGUGGAGUCUCUUCUUUUUAUGGGCUUCCUUAUAUUCCAUGUUCUUUUACUAUAUAUUUGAGAUUUUCACCUUCCAUAAAUGAAAUAAAUUAACUAUUUUCAUUUGAAAAGAAAAACGAUCCAAUAGGAGUUUGUAAGAUUAUUUAUCAUCUCCAUUGUUUAACUUUCUCUAUAAAAACAAUGUUGCUAUUGAUGGGUAAAUUUAUACAAUUAAGAGUAAGAAGCCUAUAGACUAGCAUUGCUAAAUUGAACAUUCAAAAUUUGCUUUGAAGUAAGAGUCGAGGAUGGUAUAAUUAUUCUUUAGUUGUAUUCCUCUUUUUCUUAUAGAUCUUUGAAGAACCAAAUUAGGUUAUUUUCUUCUUCUUAAUGAGUUGUUUGAUCAAAGCUUAUUUUCUUCUUUAUUUUUGCAGCACUUUUGGGUUGCCAUUUCAAUUGUCUUCUUUGUUGCUGCUACAUUAUUUACUCUACUGAAACUUUGUGGUAAUUUUUAAUUUUCCACAUUUAGAUUGCAGUCUGUUUAGUUUGAUUUUAAAUAAUAUGUACUAAUUUUGCAAAUUCUAGAUUUAAUCUUCCCCAGGUUGUAAAGUAUAUUUUGGUCUUAGAUAGCCAGCCAAGACCAAUCUGACGGUGGAGAAUUUUCUUUGGAAGACUUGGGUUUCCGAGGGGUCUGCCGCCCUUGAUUUCGGCACCGUUAAGGCUAGAAGAAGAAGAAAGUGGUGGAUCGACGAGAUGGGUAUGUCGCAACAUAGAGUUUCUUGGCUGCUUCACGUUAGAGAGGAAGAGCGAAAUUUUGGAGGUAUAGGAAGAGCGAAACGGAAUUUGAGAGAUAGGAAAUCGCAGGGUUUGAGGAAGACGAAGAAGAGAAGGGGAGAUGAGAGGCAGAGUAAACCGAUCGAGAAGAAAAAGGGGAAAGAAAUUUGAAAUAAAAGAGACCGUUGAGGUUGAAGAAGAGGGGAAAGAAAAUUGACCGUGGAGGAGAAGCUUUUUUCGUUUAUUUGAUUUUUGUAUUAAAUAUUUUCUAUGAAAAUUAAAAAAGAAAAAGUUAAAAGGCAAAUAUUUUCUACUUUUUUUUUAUUUAUUCUAUGAAAACUCAAUAAUAAAAAAGCAUCUAUAUUUGCUUUUGGUAUGGUUCACAUUUUUAUUUAUUUGACAAAAAUCUAACUAAAUUAUCAUUCAUUUUGACCUAAUAUUGCAAAUAUAAAUUUAUAUUUUGCAUCUUAACUACUCUUUGGCAUUUAUAAUAUCAUUGUUUCACACCUCAAUUUUUUUAUUGUUGUCAAAAAUAAACUUAAUCCAAAAUGAAUUAGCAAAUUAGGGAAUAAAUGUAAUCAUUGUUUUUGGGAGUUUGAGUUCGACCGUGAUUAUUGUUGAAUAAUUUUCACUUAGACAUGGACAUUUUGCUAUUUUAGCAAUUUAAAUUUAAAAUUUUCUUUUAUCAAAAGUAAACCUCUUGUUUUAAUGUUUUUCUGGUCAUCCCUUUUAAAUACAACUAAUGACAAAUGAAUAUAACAAUUAAGAAAUUCGUAGAUAUAUAACAACAUUUUAAACUAAUUGCUGCAGUUAUUUUAAAUCACAUAUGUCAUUCGCUUAUAAGCCAUAAGAGUCUAUUAACGAUAUAAAUCUAUCACAAAUAUAUUUUGCUACAUUUACAAUUUUUAAAAGAUAUUGUUAUAUACUUAAUUAUUAUUCAUAAAAUUACUAAUCCAUUAUACUUACCCUAAGUUAAAUGAAUAAUGUCAAAAGUAAGUUUACUACGAAGGUAAUUUGUGUGACCCUUUUAUCCUAACGUAGGAAGUUUGUUCCACUCCAUACCAUUAUUGAACUAAGAAGAUUAAGUGUGUAUUAGUAUGUUUAAACAAGUAUAAUUAUAGCAAAUUCUAUGAGUGAUAUAUUUAUAUUAGCAAUACAAUAUGUGUUACAUAUGCAAAUAUUUUGUAUCUAAUCGUUGUAUUUGCAAUUAACUCCAUUCAAAUAUACAAAUAUAAACAUAACUCUUUAACCUGAGUUUAGCUAGGAUCACAAACUACAAAAAGAAAGUAUGGAAUAUAUUUAAUUUGUUUUUUUUUCUUUGAAGAAAAUUUGGUGUGUAGCACAUUAUAUAUUUUUCUUUCCAUUAAAAAACAGUAUUGAUCUUAUAAUAUACGGCCUUGCACAAUGUAUUCACCAUAAAGAUCAUAUAAUUGUAGAGAUGUAUAGAAGGUCUGAUAAACAACAUAAACGAAAAGUUCUAAUCCUUGAAAUUGUAAACAUUACCCAUAUCCUACAAUAAAAGUCACAUCAACUUGAUAUUUGUUGAAAUUUAACAAAAAUGAAAAGAAAGCAACGACAAACCAAUGACGAUGGAAGAAGAUACAGUUUUCAAACACAACCAGCUAUCCAAAUUAUUCAUAAUAUGGUAUUAGAAAAUAUAUUGCAAUUUGUAACCUCAUAAGUUUAUAAACAGAGUAAAAAUUAAAGGAAAUUUUUUUAUCAAGCUUAUAUUAGGACUUUAUACUACUUAUAUGUAAUUCUUAAGUUUUCUUCUUUUAGCUAUAAAAGACACAAAUUAAGAAAAAAAAUGACUUGAUUGUCCAUGUAAAGUUAUGCCCCAACUUUUUUCUUCUAACUUAAGAAAAGGAACACCAACAAAUAUCUAUCCCCAUAAACUAAAAAGCAUAGGAAAAUGAUAGUAAAAGUAAAAUCAUCUUUUUCUGUUAUCUUUUUCCUUCAUUCAUUUACUUCUAAUUGAAAAUAAAUCAAAAGUCUAAAACCGAUCAAAUUAUUGAAAACAAAAAAACAAGAAACAUAACAGUGUGGAGAGGUAGUUAUUAUCAAGUAUUUGAUUUUGUUUAAUAGAUUCCAGUUGUGACAACCACAACAAUUGUAUGCAUGAAGUUCAUCAUUCAAACAGAUUCUGACAACAAAUUUCAACACAUCUGCAAGGCGAAAGAAGAUAGGAAUUAGGAUAACAAGGUAAUUAGAACACUGAAAUAAAUUUUAAAAAUAAUUUUAUUGCCGAUUGCUACUAUAAGCAUAAUUAUCUGCUUGUAUAGUUGUCUUGCAUGAUCUGACAAAUACAUUAUGGUAUUUGAUAUUCCAUUCAGGUUGUAUCUUGCAUGUUACCAACAAAAUCAUGUGCUUAGUGAUAAAUUACUCUUAGACUGAGAAAUACUCGAAAAAAAAUCAAGAGUAACAACUCUUAGUUUCCCAGAAAAAUUGAAACAAAAUCAUGACAAACCAACAACAAGAACUUCAUAAACUUGUCUGAUGAAAGCAACUCAAGAACAGUCUCAAUGCAGAUCAUACAUGAGUUCUUUGCUAAAAUAUUUCCAAAGGCUAAAAAGAGUUAAGGAAAAAAAGAAAAACAAUAAUUACCUGUAAUUUUCGUUGGUUCAUGAUCUUCUCUUGUCAUUCCCUCACUUUAAUCUCAUAACUGAAAAGGAAAAGAGGAGGGAGGGGUGAUUAAACUCAUGCAUGUACAUAAUGUCGAAACCAGCAAAAUUACCACCCUAUUAACUAUGAAAGUCUGGUUGUGGUCGAAGUAGGGUGAAAGUCAGUGUAGAUUAGGAUAGAUGUCACCGUGAAGCUCACUGUCGGUUGGGGGAGAACAUAAAAAUUGACUUUUUUCUUUUAUAACAGGCUGGGGUGAACUGGCUGGCAAGGAGGAAGUGACAUGCUACCACUAGGUUGUGUUAGGUGUGAACAAUGGACAAUGGUGGCUAGAAGUGAGGGAAGGGCUUUGUCAAAGGGUCGUGCAGGGCUGAACUCCAACUGUCCAAUAUUAGUUUGUUCGGUUACUUUCUUUGUUUCACCCAUAUCAAUGUCUGCAAAAAUUCCCACAAUAUAUAGAAAUGGAAAUAAAGAUCCUUAAGUUCUUUGAGAAAAAUCAUAAAUAUAGCCACAAAAUUUCUCCAAUUAUUUGUUACUUAAAAAAGUAUAGAAAUUGUCAACCAAGCUCAACUAACGCCUGUAUGUAUGUACUUAGAACCAAGAGGUCUCGGGUUUAAAUCCCUCUACCCAAAAUUUGUCCUAAAUCUCAACUUUUUUACAAUCAAUCCUAAAACUCUUUUUCUACCCCAUUUGGCCUAAAUCUCAAAAUUUGUCCUAAAUCUCAAUUUUUUAUACUAUUAUAGUUGUAGAAUAAAAAAUUUUAGAUCAAUCACGCAUUAUCGUUGAAUUCAAGACUAAUUAAAAAUUGACAUGUGUCCCAAAUUAAAAUUGAAAAAAAAUAUAAAUUUGUUAAUUUGGAUGAUACACAUGUUUGGAUCAAAUUAAUUAUUUUAGUUUAAUUAAUAUUAUUUACUCGGUUAAGACUAAAAUUCAAUCGAGCCAAAAAAAUAAAUUUAAUUUAGCUCUGGUCCAUAAAUCAACCAGACUCAAGUUCAUAAAAGCCACUAAAGAACUCUAUAGAUACUGGAGUUCCCUUCAUUUGAAGAUACAAACUUUCUUUCAAGACUCCAACUUCAAGAACGUCACGUGCUCUGCUUCCUCAAAUCAAGCAUAAGCAUCUAAGUGAGAGAGAAUCAGGAGAUCAAAUGACUCAUUGCAUCAAAUCAACAUAAAUACAUUAUUAAUACAAGUUGGAGUUCACAAAUUAAAUUUCUCUAUAAAGAUCUCGUGUAAACCACAGUGAACCAAGAAGUGAUUAUAAACUGAAUAUUUCAUUAAUAAAUUCAAUCAAAUAAAAUGAAAUACAGGAAAAUUACAACUCUAUUGAACUUGAGAUGAAUCCUCAAAAUUCUAAGUCUUUUCCUUGGACGAAUUCUCUAAUCGUCCGUCAACACACACUUUUGUGGGAUGAGAAAUUUUAGAGCUACUAUGCCUCCCUCAUAGGAACUUUUGUACUUAAGAUUAGCUACUGACUUGGAAUGUUGCGGAAGACCUAUGGAGUUGUUGUAAAAUGGCAGAAAUUGUGAGAAGAUGGUGAUGAAUUUGACUAUAGUUAGUUGUUCCCCGAAAUGGAAGACUUGCUAUAUAAUGUAUUAAUUGACUGUCUCGUUGUUGCUGUCCAUUGUUAUUUUGAUAAAAGGUUUGCAGAUGUAAAUAAUUUGUAAAUUUAUAGAUCUAAGAAUGUUAUCAUACACUUCAUAUUAGAUAAUAAAAAUCACUUGACAAUUUCUCAAACACCACACCGUCUACCGCCUCAAAGUUGAGUUAUUGAUCAUGGUCAAGACAAAGAAAAUAAGGAUUGAGACCACACUUGCGAAGAAGAAAAAUGUUGAGAGGAGAAAAAGAUCAUGCAUGCAAAUGGAAAAAAAAAAAAGAGAAAGUAGGAACUUUGUUUAGGUUCAUCAAGAAGAUAAAUGGAUAUAAAGAAAUAACCAAAAUCAUAACUUGAAUUCUUUCUCAUAUUUGCAAUAGUAGAAAUCUGGAAGACACAUUUGCAAAAUAUCUCAACUUAUUUUGCUACCUAUUACAAUAUUCCUAAACUUAUUGUAAAUGUACACAAUUUUGUAUCUGUGAUCAGUUUCAAGAAUCUCUCCCUAGAGAGAAUAAGUUGCAUCUUCUAAAAGUACUUGCUAUGGCUCAACAUCAACAUACUUUAGGAAACUUUUCAAUAGUUAUUUACAUAAAAGAAAACUAGAAGGUAAAAUAGUAAUGAAUUUCUCCAACUGAAUUUUGUUCGAGUUACAAUAGUUGUAUGUUUAUGCGCAUCUAUAUAUAUAAUGCAAUAAUGUAAGACAACAUGAGCAUAAUGUAAUAUGGAGAGCUGGAGGAUCAAAUAAAAAUAUAAGAAAAUCAGAUUAUUAUCUUUAUGAAAAAAUAAUUAGUACAACAAAAAACAAAAUUAGACUUUACUAAUUGCAGAUCAAAAAUUGCAUCCGCGACGCUGGCAAAUCAGAGUUGCAUGGGAGUUGAAUCCUUAACAAUCUCAUAUAAUGAUAUAAUGUUUUCAAUGCUCAAUAGGCCAAUGAUGCACCAUUCCAAGAGAUCUGAUUUCCUAUUCUGGAGGACUUCUUGAAGAAAAUGAAUGUUAUGCUGCAAGGAAGGUGCAAAUUUAUUAGAGAAGAAUUAAACACUGUUCUAUCUCAAGAAAUAUCAUUUCCAUAAAAGUAAAAGAACCUCCUUCCAGUGAGUAUGAUAUAAGUGGAAGAAUCUAGGUUAAAGAUUUAAAUAAGGAAAUCACAAUGAGAAUGUUGAUUAUUUUUUCCUUAGCUCGGCUUUUGGAAAAGGAACACACACCACUCCCUGAUUUCAUUUGCAUUAUUUUGGGUCAGCUUCAGAAUACACAAACUUCAGAUGGACAGCACAAACACUUGGAAACAAUUUAGCAGAACCAAUUUCUUAAAGAAACAUUCUAAACUAAUUAAAUAAAGAGAGUCCUCAAAACUUCACUCCUUGAAGAACUAUGAAUUGAUUCUCCUACAAUAGUAGCUAGCUUUUGAUAGGACCACGUCCCUUCACCACGGAUUAGAAUAUUGAUGUCAAUAUUUUAAUUUUUUUUAUUCUUCUUCUUUAAAAAAAAUAAACAUUUAAUUCUUGAACAUUGGGAUCUAAAUGUCCAGGGAUAAUAAUGCUCAUACCCACGAAAUAAUAUCCACCAUCCAAACUGUUAAAUAAAAAAAUUCUUUUCCUAAAAUUCUACCGAAGCAGUAGGAAAAGUUGUUAUGUAACUUUUUCUAAAUAAGUGAAGAAAGAGUGGACAAGAAUAUGAUAAAACCAAUAAAAUUAAUCAGAAGCUGCUAGUAUCCAUUUGAUUUAAUACGUUCCAAUCCUUGAAUUUAAAGCCUUGUACAUGUGUGAAUAUUAUGCAUUAACGAUUUAACGAUUUUAAAAUGAAAUAAGAAUGAAGGAUUUAAAUUCAUUCACUUGUGAAAGUUGAGAGAUUUAGUUAAUACAACAUUUAGUAUAAAUUGGUUUUCUUUCCCUUAAAAAGAAUACUAAAGAAAAUACGAAAGUUUUCACGAGGUUACACGUCCUCUCAACACAUUUUCCAUUGCAUAUAACCAAAAAUAGAUAAUAUUGCUUUCAAGUUGGCUAUUGCCACGAUAUUUAAGAAGAACGUUCAAGAGAAGAGGCUCAACUAUACGGAAAAAACCACUUUGAAGGAAUGAAUGGAAUAGAAUGAAAUUACCUCCACAAACUUCAAUUUGAAAUCUAGAUUCCCAAAGCGCUGGGUGACCUCGUACUCUUCCCGAAGGUACUCAUAUAUUUGAGCAUAUUUUGCAUCCCUCCACGCAAUUUCUGAUCUGAGUGGCAAAGGAAAAAGACAUAAAAGAGCACUAAGAUAACAAAAUUCUACCAAUUAAAGCAAUAUUAUGAUCGAAUUUUCUAUGCACGAAUAUUAAUAAUAAUAAGAAGGUAAGAAUGUAUAUAUUUUUGUUUACUUAUAUCAAGCUUGAAAGGCAAACUUUUCUAUGUUAUGAUCUUGGUUCUGUUAGGAUGUCAAAUACAUUUCUGAACAAUAGUAUUAUCCUGGCGCCAAGUACUGCGAAAACCACAUAAGACGUAAUCCAAGCUUUAAAGAGGCUCUAGAUAAAAUAAAAAGAAAAAUGUAUUUGAUAGGCCACUGAUUAUACAUCAGUAUGCUCGCAGGGGCAAAAAGGGCAAAGAAGUAGUUAUUAUUGAGUUGGGAGAAUCAUCCAACAGUAAGAAUGAUUAUCUUGGGUAGUUUUGGGCAUUUAUCUUGACUAGUUUCAGUCUUCAGGUGGUUAGUAGUUGGUUAUGAUCAAGGAAGUUAUGUUACCGUUGCUAUGUUAUGUGUUUAAAUAAGAAGUUAAGUUAGCAGAUGGGUAGACAGUCUUUUAGUUUGAAGUGUUUGGGUUUCUCUCGUGUGGGAAGAAUGGUCUAUGUAAUAGUAAAUUAUCUAUAAUAGAAGAACUUUACUUUAGUAACUAUCAUACUGGUAUAAGAGCCCUCAACCUGGGGAUGAUAGGAAAGGUGGCACAGAAGAAAAUUGAAGAACGGUUAGGCGUAACUGAUUUUGAAAUUGCCAGGAUUUAAGUAGAUGUUCAGAAGUUACCACAAAUUGAAGAAACGCUGCUUGCACUUGCUUAAGAUUGUUCAACGCUUUAUCCUUAUAGCACAGUUGGAACAACAACGAAGGAAUGCAGAUGACACUCAAACAUUAUUGGCUUCUCUAGUUUCAGGUGUUGGAUUGUCAGAUCGCCCUUCCAAUUCGGAAUCGAAUGAGGAAAUUAAGAAUACGACAGUGGCAAACACAGUGGAACCUAUUUAUGGCUAUAGGAGCAAUGCAUUCAGACAAUAAUGAGGGUGAACAGGAUCAUAGCAAAUUAAACAAGUUUGAGAUGUCAGUAUUCAAUGAAUCCGAUCGUUACUUACAAAUCCAUAAACUUACUGAUUCCAAAAAAUUAACAGUGACAGUCAUUAGCUUCAAAGCAGCGGAGCAUUAGCUUCGAAGCAGCGGCUCUCAAUUGGUACCAAGCCACAGACAAACGAGAACCAAUUUUGAAUUGGAAUGAUAUGAAACGAAGAUUGUUGAUCCGAUUUGGCUCAUCAUGCCAAGGUUCAGUUUGUGGGCAAUUUCUCAUAAUCAAGCAAGAAACAGUGGUGGAGGAAUAUUGCAGUCCGUUUUGAUAGGUUAGUGGCUCCUUUACUCCAACUACCUACCAAAAAAAUUAAAAAAAGAACGUGUCCUCUGCAUGUCGUGUCCUAUGCAUGUUGUAUCCUAUAUGUUAAAAAACUGGUGUGUCGUAUCUCGUGUCGGUGUUCGUGCUUCUUAGGUUUUGAAUUUAAAAACUCUUCUAAAUAAUUUUAAAAAAGGAUUUCCUAUUGUUCGGUUUUUCUCUGACUUACCAAUUAAAUUAUUUGGUUGCACUACUUAUGUUCAUAAUCCCAACUCUACUCGUACUUCACUUGAUCUAGCUGUUAAAUGCAUUUUUGUAGGCUGUCUCCUAUAGGAAGGCUUACAAAUGUUUUGACACUUCGACUAAAAGGUAUUUUGAGAGUAUGGAUAUGUCUGUUUUUGGAAAAUCAACCUUUUUUUAGCCAAAAUUCUCUUUAGAGGGAGUCCCCUAACCUUAAGAUAAUUUUUGGGACACUUAACCUAUCCCAAACACCAUUGAUUCCAAAGUUAUGAGCUAACUCUUGACGUCAAGUGUGGAGAGUUCUUCAGGGGGAGAACCACUAUAGACUGACUUGACAAGUAAAAACCUGAACUACAGCUUUAUAAUAAAAGAAACUUGACUCGAAGGAAUUGAGAAUGAUCUAUCACAAAACCAAACUAAUACCCCGAUAAAUGAUUAUGAAGAUCCAGGUAACAUACAUUCUCCUUUUACUUCGUCUAAUUCUCCCCGUUCUUCUCAUAAUUCCUUGUCUAAUGUCUCUGAUCUUGAUAUUACAAUUGCCAACAGGAAAGGUACCAGUAAAUUUGUCAAAUAUCCCAUUGCAAACUAUCUUUCUUAUCGUAAACUUUCACAAUCAUAAAGCCUUUACAUCCAAAAUAAUCAACCUGUUUGUUCCAAGGAAUAUACAAGAGGUCCUAAAUGAUUUGAAUUGGAAAUUAGCAGUGAUGGAAGAGAUGAAUUCUACAUGGGAUAUACUUGAACUACGAAAAGAAAAGAAAACAGUUGGAUGCAAGUGGAUGUUUACGCUAAAAUGUAAAGCUGAUGGUAGUGUCGAGAGGUACAAGGUUGGAUUGGUUGCUGAGGGGUUUACUCAAACCUAUGGAGUUGAUUAUCAAGAAACAUUUGCUACAGUUGUCAAAAUCAAUUCUAUUAGAAAUUUGUUGUCUGUUGUAGCUAACUUUGAUUGGCCUCUUUAUCAAUUGGAUGUUAAGAAUGUCUUUCUCAAUGGGGAACUGAAAGAAGAGGUAAUUAUGGACUUGCCACCUAGUUUUAAGGUAGAUCUCGGGAUUAACAAAGUUUGCAAGUUAAAGAGAUCAUUAUACGGUCUCAAACAGUCUCCUAGAGCUUGAUUUGAACGCUUGUAUAUUCCUUGGAACAAACAGUCUCCUAGAGCUUGAUUUGAUUCGAGAAAGUAGUCACGGGCUAUGGAUUCAGUCAAAGCCAAGUCGAUCAUAUGAUAUUCUACAAACAUACAGGAAAUGACAAGGUUAUGAUUUUGAUAGUUUAAUUUGAUGAUAUCGUUCUUACAAGCAAUGAUGAGACAAAACAAACUUUUGUGAAGAAAAAGUUGGCAGAUGAUUUCCAGAUCAAGGACCUAGGAACUUUAAAGUACUUCCUAGGCAUGAAGUUUGCCAGGUCCAAAAGUGGCAUUCUUUUCAAACAAAGGAAGAAUAUUAUUGAUAUGUUAAAAGAGACAGGUUUACUUGGUUGCAAGGUAGCAGAAACUCCCAUUGAGCAGAAUUUGAAAUUGAAAGUUGCAACCAAGAAUGAGAUAAAGGAAAGAGAAAAGUACUAGAGACUUGUAGGAAGACUCAUAUAUCUUUCCCACACGUCCUAACAUUGCUUUUGAAAUUAGUAUCAAAAGUCAGUUCAUGCAUGCUCUUGAACCAACUCACUUUUAUGCCGUUUAUAGAAUAGAAUCCUAAGUAUUUGAAAGGUACUUGAGGAAAAGACACAUUGUUUCAAAGACAUGAUCAUCUAAUGUUAACGUUUACACUAAUACUAAUUGGGCAGGUUGCAUGACUGAGAUCUGGUUACUGCCCCUUCCUUGAAGGAAAUCUUGCUACUUGGCAAAGUAAAAAACAGAGUGCUGUUGCAAGAAGUAGUGCAGAAGCAGAAUUUAGAGCUUUAACCCAACGCAUUUGUGAGUGUAAAUGAAUAAGAUUGUUGGAAGAAUUGGGAUUCACUCAAACAAUGCUCAUGCAGUAUCACGGCAGCAAUUUCCAUUGCCCACAAUUCAGUCCUUUAUAACAAGACGUAACAUACUGAAGUCAAUAAACACUUUAUAAAGCAAAAGACCAAUGUGGGAGUAAUAUGCAUACCCUACCUUCCGACAACAGAACAAAUUGCAGAUGUGUUAACUAAAGGCCUUCCAAAGUGGCAAUUCAACAAACUGAUUGACAAGCUAGCAAUGACUGAUAUCUUCAAACCAGCUUGAGGGGAAAUGUUGAUUAUUUCCUUUAUUGUAUUAUAUUUUAUUGUGUUGGUUGUAUAAUAUUUGCCAAAUUUAUUUUUUCCUUUUUUGUAAUGAGUUGUUUUAUUUAAGUAAAAUCUUGCUAUUUGUGAAAUAAACAAGAAAUAUAUUAUUUUAGCAUAAAUCAAUGAAGUCUUAAUUCCAAGCGAUGUUUACUGGAUUUUGUUUGCCUCUUUAUUUGUUUUGAGGAUCUUUUUUCUUCUACUUUGUUUGCUUAUUGGUUUGUAUUUUGAGUAUAUCUCUUUUCAUUUCCCUACGUGAUGGGAAACUUGUUUUCAUUUCCUUAUGUGAUGGGAAACUUCCGCAAGGAAGUCUCUUACUGUGAGGAACCAGACUAUUCCUAUAUUUGCACAAUUCCGAGUAAACGAUGUAUAAGAAUGCUUAACGACAGAUGGUCUUCCUUUUUAAGAAUGUCCUGCGUUGUGGGUGGUCUCUUAUUCCGCCGCUUUCUAGAGCUAUGCCGCUGCCAUUACCCCUUGGAUUGGCCAUGAGACAAACAUUUUAGUUUCUUCAUUGCAAGUCUCUUUGCAUUUCCUUAAUGAACAGUUUUUUAUAUAUAUUGUAUCCUUUUCAAAACAAUAAUAAAUAAAAUAAAAAGACAGCUAUCUGUUUAGACCAAUAUACUAUAAGUCCAAUACCAACUAUCGGGGUUUUACCUCUCAAAAAGACCAACUUUGAGAAUUACAUCUGCUAAAUUUGAAUUGGCCUUUCCAACAAGUUGAAGGAGCUUUUUCUUAUCCAUAGUGAAUGUUCCUGUUUUCUCCAUUUUACGAUUUAUAUCUGCAAACUCUUCAACCAAACUAUCAACCUGAAAAAGAAAAGAGAGAAAAGAAAAGGCAUGUUUUGAGAACACAAAUACAAGCACUAAUUGGUGCUGAAGAUUAAAAUGCCAAACUCGGAGAAUUAGUAACUUAGAUAUUUAAUGAGCAAGCAGAUCUCAUAACCUCCGUCAUUCCAGCUAAGUGACAAAAAAUGUCAAUUAUGACACGAUGAUGGAAAAGUUGCAGGAAAUUAUGAUGUCACCAAUCAUGCUUUAGGAAUAGGUCUAGAAAUAAUAUGAGUGGCCUACUAGGUUGUCCCAGGAGUAAAUAAAAGAAUGUGAUAGACUGCCAAUGAUUGUUCACAUAACCAGGCAUUGUAAUCCCAUUUUUUUAUUUUGCUUCCAUACCAAAUUGUAAAACCAAAUUGUAUUUAUAUGUUGUCUUGAUCUUUUGGGAUCAUUCUUUGGAUUGGAGUCCUUUAUUGUAGGAAGGGUUGAACUCUCUUUUCUAUCCUCUUGAGUGCCCUUCUAUGUUCUUCAUUUCUCUCCAAGAAAUUGUGGUUUUGAAUAAAGAUUAAAGAAACAAAAAAUUGAUAAAAAUCAGUUUGACAAAAUGUAAUUUUUAAAAAGAACAUAAAUAACUACAGACAUUUCAAGAGCUCCCCAUCUCUCCUAAUCCUAACCAAAGAUAAUUCUUAGAGAGAACCUAUUGGCACCUACUAACCAAUAUAUACCCAUCUACUAGGAACGGGUCUGGUUUCAUUAAAAGAUUAUAGCAAUGAUUCUACAGUUUUGUAUCCUAUUUGACACCUUUAAGGAUUAUUUUGUGUGUUGUAUUUUGUUUUUCAUAGACACCUGUCUAAUGAAGAGCUGUUACCUAUAAUUGGAAAAAUUCACCCAUCAGAGCAUUACUAUGCAAAACAACAGGCAGAAUAUAUCAUACAGCAGGUACUCAUCCAUAACGAAUCUUAAAAACCCAUAUGCAAGUCGAUGAAUUUUUUAGCUUUACUUUUACGAUUGAGAUAUUGCUUGGAUAUUGUGGCACAUAUUAAUGUCAUCAACAAACAUCUCAUGAUUCUUAUGUAUGGUUGUAGAAACAAUUUACUCUUUCUUUUCCUCUAUCAGUGAGAGCUUGCUGGGUUGUCCAUGGAUUGUUUUAUACUCUGUACAGUUAUUUUAAUUUUUACUUGACCGACCACCCAUCACAUAUAAGUAAUAUUGUGUAAAAUUCAUUUUACGAGUAGUAAAAUCGGUCAUAUUAAAACGCAGUCAUUACACCAAUUGUUUUCUGUUUGCACUUUGUGGACUGAAUGGUUAUUCUCUUGGAAGUUCCUUUAUCAGAUUUCAUUAUAAAUCUAUUGCAUCUGACUUUUAACUCAAUAAACUGUAGCAUAAUUGUUAAUGUUAUUAUGGUCCUCAUUGAUUUUAAUAAGAUAGACCAAGUGUUCUCUAUCAGCCUCAGAACAUAAGAUAUAGUAUGACGUCAUUUAUCUUAUCAUUUUACAUGGAAGAACUUUCUUGCAAAUGUUUUCUAAAUGAGAAAACAUUACCAUAAGGCAUAAGAUCUAGAAUUAGACUAGGCCUGGAAAAUAUUUUCAUCUUCCAGAGGGAGCAACUGUUGGAAUUUUUUGUCCUAAAACUCGUAGUUUGUAAAUCAUAUUCUGUUCAAUAAAGUUGUUAUUGAGAAAUUAAAUAUUAUAAUCUUAAAUCAAUAAAUCAAGUUCCAAGGCUAUUUUUAAAUAAACUUGAACUUUAUGUGUAAACAUAAACGUGAUCAAGUUCGAGUAUAUAGCCUAAAUAGUCUAUAGUAUAUGAAAUAAAGGUUGGGCGCCUUAUUUAGAGAAACUAUGGAUGCAGCCCACUUUGUAGUGCAAACGAGGUGAUCCUAAUCGUUCAUGUAGAGACAUGAAAGUGGGGGCAUCCUAUGUAAAAUGUUUACAUAAGACUGAACCAUGAAUUAGUCAUUUUUACGUUAUAACACCGUUUUACUGUUUAAAACUGACUAUCUCAAUUAUUUGAUGACCUAGGUAACUUAGUCUUAAUCCUGAGUUAACUAUGAACUCCUGUUCACACGAGAUUAUCCUUAGAUCUGCAUAGGUGAGGGCAGCUCAUCAGCGUUGGCCCAAUAAGCCUCCAUUUCAGGGGUAAGAUCGGGUGGAUAGCUGGGAACAUAGGGUACAAGAUGGAAUUCACUCCUACCCGCUUUAGGGUUAGUAGAUAGGUUGCUCUCUUAAGCACUGAAUCCAAGUCUUGAACAAGGGGCCCCACCCUCUCAUUGGCCCGAGAGGGAUUAAGUUUAUAGGUUGAACCUUAACCAAUUGUUCAAUAGUGGAUUAGUGGGACUUAAGGAGCAAGAUGUAAUCUUGGGGUAAAAUGGUAUUUUGACCCAGCCAAGGUUACGAGCAACCUGUGAAGGAUUAACUUACUGAUUAUGGUUUUAUCAAAUGGACACAAUAUAUCUAUAGUGAGGGAGUGCAACUACGGGACUUUAGUGGAAUGACCCGUUAGUUAACGAAUGUUGAUUAACUCGGUUUAAAAGAGUUUAGCUAGUUAAUCUUGAAUCGUUGGAGCCCAUGAUCUAUAGGUCCAUUAGGUUCCUCUGCUAGCUCAUAUGGAUUAAACUUAGAAAAGUGUGAUGAAAUAAGUCGAAUUGUUCGAAUUGGAGAAGAAAGGGAAACCGACAUAUAUAGUGAUAUAGUCGUCGGUCUUCUAAUUAGAAAUAGAGUUUUAUGUUUUACAUACUAUAAGUAUGAAUGCGGAUUCAUACUAAGAAGCUCGAAUUGGUCAAAAAUAGUAAAAAGUCAAAAUGUUGACUUUUGACUUUGAGAAGUCAAACUUUGACCGGCCUUAUAUUCAAAUGUGAUUUGAAUUUUGGAAAAAUGAAUGCGGAUUCAUGCUCGGGAGGUUGGAAUUAGUCAAGACGGACAAAAAUGGUAAAAAGUCAAAAUAUUGACUUUUGACUUAGAAAAGUCAAAGUUUGACUUUUGACUAGAAAUAUCUAAUGACCAUUUUACCCUUGGACUAAGUUAGUGGGAAAAUCCAACAUUUUUGUUGGAUAAUCCCACUAACUCUUAGUGGGAUAUGUGGCUAUAUGAGAUAUAGACACCUAGCCCACUAAGUUCCAUUAAUUGUUAGUGGAAUAUUAGGUGUUGAGAUUUGGCAAAUGAAUUGCAUGCAUUUUUGCAUGCAAUUAGGCUAUAAAUAGAGGUGUUUUCAAAUGUUGAAGGACUUUGCCUCUUUUAUCAUUUUCAUCAUCUCAACAAAAGAAAAAAAACUUCCAAUCUCAUUUUAUCUCCAUUAUUUUCUACACCAAAAUUGGGUCCCACAAACCGGUUCUUUGUCUAGAGGAUAGCAGUUGAGUACUAGUGGUGUCUCGGGUAGAAUUGGUAAGAAGACAUCAACUUUUGAAAGCUUCAAAGGUAAUACUUCUUAAACACUAAUUUGAUUAGUUUAUGUUACAUGUUAAUUGUGGCAAUUAGGGUAGAAAUUCGAUUCUUUUUCCGCUGUGCAUGACUUAGUUCUAUCAGCAACUACAUCUGUUGAUUAACAUCUUCAUUCUGUCUUUAUUUUACAGGCUGAUGCAGAUAAAGAUGGACGUCUCACCUUGGCAGAAAUGAUCGAUCAUCCUUACGUAUUUUACAGUGCCAUUUUCAACGAAGUUGAUGAGGACGAUUAUGAUUUCCACGAUGAGUUUCGUUAAGUUUUUUCAUGUAUGGACACCUCCCUCUAUCUAACAAACUUCGCGGACAAGAUCAGUCUUGAUGUUUGUUGCUGUUGCAGGAAUAGUCGAAUAGUCAGAUAGGAUUAGCAGUAGAAAAACGGAGUUCUUUCACAGCAUGGAAUCGGGAUACAGAGUUUGAAGUCUUAGGCAACAACUUGGAGGCAUCUCUCUGGCAUGGUGGUCAGAACUGGGUUAAACUUCUUCAGCCAUGGCUCGCCCAUAUGGUGGUAUCCCUCUUUUUGUAGCAUAUGAAACCCCCAUCUUGUCUAAGAUAACAAUGGUUUCACACCUUAGAUUAUAGACAUUUAUUUGCAAAUAGUUUUGUUAAGUUCAAUGUCCUUGGUAUAGAAUUACCAUUUAAUUUUAUUUGUUACUAAUUUAUUCUUCCUGGAUAGAAAAUUAUCAAUUAUUCAAUCAUAUUUAUCUUUUGAGUAUAGGGUUUUGAAAAGUGAGCUACAAACAGGUGUGUAAUUUUAGAUUUUGUUGCCUUUUCAAAUAUGAUGUUGGAUAUGAUAUUUGGUUUAAGAAUUUUUGGACCAAUCACGAAAAGUACAAAUAAUUGAAUUUAGGACUAAUUAAAAGUUGACAUGUGUUGACAUAAAGAUGAUGCCACGCAUUUUCAUCGUUGGUUCAAGUUAAAGUUAACUAUUUUAGGUUCAAUUAAAUAUUAUUUAUUUGUACAAUUUUAGCCUAAGAGCUAAAUAUGACAAAAAUUUAUGUAAUAAGGUUAACUUAGUUGGAGAGCUAAAUACGACAAAAAUAUAUGUGAUUGGAUCAUGAGUCUGAUCCAUGAUCAACAAAGUCCAAGCCAUAGAAGACUAUAAUAGAAGAGUCCUCCUCAUCUGUGGAGAUAGAAAUUUUUACUCCAUAGGGUUAAAGAGAAUUCUCCUAAGAACAAGAAGACUCUCGUCGACCACCCUCCAAGAUUGAAGAAAAACAUUAUGUGUUGUAGCUUCCUCAAAUCAAACAUAUAGACAUUCAAUCGAGAGAAAAUUAAAGGAUCAAAUAUUAGAAAUAUUGUUUGGUCAAAUUGACACGUUCGAUGGAUAUCUCUACCUCUUAUCUCUCUCUCAUCAUCUAAAUCUACAAGCAAACCAAUGACAAUAAAGAAAGCUUAAUCCAAAUCUUCUAUAAGCGACACUUGCACAUCUUCUAUUGCAAGCGACGGUUACACAGGACUAGGACCUGUACCCACAGUGUUCAAGGGAAAUCAUCCAGGAGCAGAAUCAAGGUUCUGUCAUUGCGUAGAGCAUUCUUAAGCAAUUGAUGGAGUUUCCUAAAGUUGGGAUUGUCAUCAAGGAAUCCCUUGCUAUAAGAAGAUCGAUAAUCACGAUAAGGUAUAUAGGGAAUAAGUUCACACCUAAAUGAAAUGAAAUAGACCCUACAUUGUCAAAGAAGUUUACACAAAUGAAGUAUACAAGAUUGUUGAUCGAGAUAGAUUAAAAGUUGCCCCAAUCAAUGAUAGGAUUCUCAAGACAUUUUAUGUGUAACGUCAUUAUGUAAAAAGCUCUUUAUCGCAAGAGCUUAAACUGCAUAAUCUCCAAACCCACACGAGCUUAAAAGGUGAGUGAUAAAAAAAAAAAAACCCAAUCAAACUAUUUGAUCUCAAUGUUAUAAAAAUGGUACGUAGGCAGCUUAAUGUUAACUUUAAGUUCAGUUAUAUGUGCAAGAAAAAAGUUUAGUAAGCGACAUUAUGACUUAAUCUCAUAGUAAAUGGUAUGUAAGCAACAUAAAAUAAGAAAUUUUCAUUAUCAUUAAAGCAAAGUUUUGUAUUUACUGAAAUUAAAAAAAGAAAACGAAUAAAAAAAAGGGAAGGGGAGCAAAGUCAAAUCUUCCACGUGAAGCUCUUAAAUUCCUCGUGUGUAGCCUCCAUACUCUUAUGAACUGUAGCUAGAGCCUCGAUGACUUCUUCUUUGAUAGCCGGAGUGUUGACUUCAUUCUGGAUCUUUGCAACUUCUAGUUCUUUCUUGUCUAUGUCUUCGUUCUUCUCACAAGAUAAGAUAGAUAGAUGUUUAGACUCAGUAUUUAUACUUUGAAGUCUGCUUUCUAGUUCCAUCUUUUCCAAAGCCAAUUGUGCAACCCUCUCUUGAAUAACUUUGGCAUCUUUUCGUAAUUGGUUUAUCAAAGUUAAGGCUUCUUGUCUAAUUGAUGAGCUUUGUCUGUCGACGACAACUACGCAAAAUACGAAGAUUGUACAACAUUGAAAUUGUCUACCCUCUUAAAAUAGUUGUUUAAAUAUUCUUCAACAAGGAGUUAGGUUGUCUGCAUAGAUCUUCGCAAUUCUCGAAAGUAUCGUCGUUAUAUUUUGUCUAAAUCUUGAGAUAUAUUUAAAAAGAGUGCACAUGAUCUUGUCUUGAAUGUCCUCUCACAUGCAUAAAGCCGUUUUCUGAAGUAUGUUUGAAACUAUCUUUUCACCAACCCAUGAGAAGGCACAGGGUGUCCUACCAUCUGCUUCUUGGAAGUGUUUAAAGACAACUCAGAAAUCUGGAGAAGAGCAUGUGUGGAUAUGACAUUCUCUGAAGUUUCUUUGGGGCAGACAUUUCCUUUAGAUGGAGGAUUCAAAUUUUUAACAUUUUUUUCAUUCACUUUCAUCUUACCACGUCGAUUCUCCUCGAGGAGAGCACAUGAUUGUUCAGCAACUAGUAGUUUUUAGGUACCAACUUCUUUAAUGGCCAAAUCCACAACAUGAGGCCGUGUCAAAGAUUCAUCGUUGCAUUGCUCAAGCUCUUGAAGAUGAUCAUCUAAAGGUGACUAUAGAAAUAAGUAAUGAAUAAAUCAUCCACUAACAGAAUAAUAAUAAUAAUAAUAAUACAAGAAAAGAAAAAUAUGUGAACUAGUAGUGUCGAAACUUUAGGAAUUUUCAGAGCACUCAAACCCUUUCCAUAGAAAUCAUCACCCAAUGCCUUUGCUUUCUUCGAAGGUCUCUUGCAAUGACGAUCACUUUUGCUACCAUCACUUUCGUCUCUAAGCUCCUUGGCCUCCUUUUGGAGGGUAGGAGUCAUUGCUUUAACCAAAUGAAUAUGUUUACCACCUAGGUUACUCCCUCAAUUCUUGAGUAGUUUGGAUGCUCACCACAUGGUGUCUAUUAUCCUUAAAAUAUGUCUUGUGCUUUGUUGUCCACCAAUUUCUAAAUCGUGUUGUCACAUGCUUGCAAGACUCUAACGUAUGGGCAAGCAAGAACAACCCAAAUAAAGAUUUGCACCUCGUGCAUAUCUCCACCGAUAUAAUGUGUUAUUUGGUGUAAUAACAAGUGACAUUUCCUCUAUAUCAUUAGGUAUAUCUUGGUAAAAGCCAAACUACUCUUGAAAUUGAUAUGGACUCUAUGAUUGCACAGUUCAAACAUUUCCACAGCGAGAUAAUAAGUAGCAUCAGCGCAUACUUACAAGAUAGGAAGACUGAAGAAAUGAUGAGUCAUUAAUAUCAACCAUGCGUUCAUGCUUAUCGGUUUUGAAGGUUUGCAGGCCAUUGAAUUCUUGAACCAUUGUGGAUCAGUUCUAGCGCCUCAUAUUCUCCAAAAUAAAUAGACAUAUCUUCGUCAGAAAAGUUAGCCAAUUUGGGACCCGAAACUUCUGUUGGUAGAGGGUAAUGCGUGCCAAAAUAAUUGAAAAUUUAUGUUGAUUCAAAGAAAUUAAUGGUGGAAAAAAUUAUGGAUUACUGGUGGAUUCAAGAACUGUAACUAGUCAGGUCGAGGAAAUCCAAGUAAAUCCAUGCUGAGAAUAUGACCUUAAGUGAAUCUUUUUAGGUAUCAACAAUAAUUGAAAAAUUGUCACUCUCAUGGAGAGAUUUGAAAAAUUAUCUCAAACAUAAACGCAAAGAGAUAAAACUUGAGAAACUUGUGGAUCGGCUUGGGACUAAAGACAAUAAUAGAAAGGCAGAAAAGUGUGUAUUUUGGAUAGUACAAUAGAUCCCAAGGCGAACACCGUGAAAAAUAAACAACAAUGUAACAAAGAAAAGAAAGUUUUUUUGGUGAAGGUUUGAAUACAAAACCUUUUAUUUGUUUGAUUGUAAUAGAAGAUUUUUCUUCCCCCUCCAUCACUCUACAAUGACAAAUGAAUUUGAUGCCUUCUCAAUUUUCAAAAGUCCUAAAAAUAGUCUUCAAAUUUUAAAACGACACCAAGUUUUAGCAAUUCCUUGUAAAAAUACUCGUAAAUUUUAAAAAUGUGUGAAUACCUCAAUCACCCUCCUCUUCUCUUCCCCUUUUCUACUUCAAUGUACAACUAAACUCUUCUCUAUUUGUUCUUGACUCGACGUCAAUACCCUUUCGUCUUUCAUCUCCCUCUUCUUAUUUAUAUUGAUAUAUUAUAUUAGUGCUUCAUGUUCCCUAAACCAAGCAAGGUUUAGAGAAAGGGAAAUAGAAUUUGUUUUGGGAAAAGGGAAAAAAGGAAAAAGGUAAAAGAAUUGAAAUGAUAAAAGGUAGAGAAAAAGGAUUUGUACAAGUUGUUAGAAAAAAGAGAGAGAAAAAAAAGGGAAGUUGGGAAGUUGGGAGGUUGAGGGGACCAAUUAUGGGAAGUAUGUGAUGGGCAAUACACAAAGAAAAAGGCAGCCUUUAUUGAUGUGCCUUUCUCAUCAUCAUCUCACAAAGCUCAUCCAAUUCAAUAUAUGAAGAUUAAAUUACCAUUGCUUCUUGUUACUGUUACCAUUCUCAUCACUAUUUGACAAUAAAUGCAAUUAAAUUUACAACACUAACAAAAUUCAUAAAAGAAAGGUAGAAAUAAUAACAAUGUAAAUAAAUAAAUAAUUGAAUUAAAAAUGCGGCUAAAUUUAGAGAAAGAGAGAGUUACUUAAUAUUGACAUAUAAAACACAAAGUUCAAUUAUAUGUUAACUUUGAAAACAAUGUUCAAUAUUGUGUCAAUGCUAUGUUAGACAUCGUUGAAAAGUUAAAAAACCUAUUUCAUAUAAAGGUGAAAGAUGAUAUUUAUAAUCAUAUAUAGAUAUGGGAUGUAAUGGUUUUGGUUAAACUUAUAAUUUAACAAAAGAGAGAUAAAGGAUAAGAAAUCACUAUCCUCACCUAUAAACAUCUCUAUUACACAAAAGAAAAAGAAAAGAAAAGGGAAGUAAUUGUUGUGAUUGAUGAAGUCAUGAAUGCACAAGUCCAUACAAAUUGACUUUAGUACAAGUUUGAAAGUAUAGCUCAAGUUUGAAAGUAUAGCUUUGGCAUCAUUGCUAUUAGAAUGGGGAGCCAAAAGGACAAAUAAUAUGUUGGUACAACAAAUAUAUAAUAUCUCCUCCACUCCUAACUUUUUGUCCAUUUCAUUGUUGAACUAUCCAACUUUAAUCUUACCUUUUAUCUAUAAUCAUCUAACACACUUCUUCUUUAAGCUCUCAUAAACCCAUUUUUAUUAGUGUUGCAAUCAUUGCUUUUAAUAGAAAUAGAAGUAUCAACAUUUCAAUUUAGAGUAGUUGUUAAUGCUUAAUGCUUUUUUUUCUUUUUUAUAAAAUAAUUCAUGGAAGACGAAUAUGAGGAGUGAUUCAUAUGGAUGUAACAUCAUUUGAAUGCCUAUCUAAUAAAAAUGACUAGAGUUUUAGAAGUGACUCAAAAAUGAACUGAAUUUACUAAUUCAUCCUUAUAAAUUUGCAGUACACUUAUAAUUGAAAAACGCUAAUUGAUGCACGAUCUAUUGUACUUAAUGCUCGAUACUUGAUGUUCUAUGCUUUAUAUUAUAUUCUCUAUGUUAUAUUUUAGAUACUAGAUACUAGAUACUCACUCGAUGCUUAAUGCUCACUGUUCAAUACUUGAUGUUCUACGUUUUAUUUAUGUUAUAUAUAUGUUUAUCACUUGAUGCUCUAUACUUGGAAAAAAAAAAAGCAAAAAAGAAGAAAAAAAAGCAUUUAAAGUUAAAAGUGAUAAUUUUAGAUAGUGAUACGAUCGUUAACGUUUUUAAUUGGUUUAAAAAAGUAUGAGAUAUUUUAUUUGAGGUGAUAUAUGCAAAAAUUUCAAAUAAGGGUGUAAAACUUUAUAGCUAUAUUUGCAUUUAGAAUAAAUAUUUUAUAAGGUUAUUUAUCAUAAGACAACAAUAAAAUUGUCAUUAAACAAUCUUGAGAGGUUGGAUUUCAAAACUUUUACAAAUUUAGGAACAUUUUCAUUUAAUACUUCUAUUCAUUUGACAAUAUUUAUAGUGUUAUAUCAUUUAAAAUAAUUUAUAUUAUUCAAAAUCAAUUAUUUUGCUUUCGAUGCCUUUAAAAAUAGCAAUUGAUAAAAUAUUUACAAAAUUAAAUUUGCUAAUUUUGUCAAAUUAUUUUGUUGAUGGAAUUGAGUUGGUUAUUUUACCAACUUACUCUAACUCUCUCCAAUUCUUCGUCCAUUCAAUGUUUUAAAUGGUUUCCCCCAUUGGCCUCCAUUAACAAUUACCACUACCACACUUUGGUGACAUACUCCGACAACUUUGAGCUUAUAUGACCAACUUUGAUGAUCACCUUCACACAAGAAAUUUCAGUGACAUACUUCGACUUCUACCUUCGUGUCGCCAAUUUCAUCAACCAACUUGGGAUCCGCUAACCACCUCCGACGAAAAUCCUAGUGACUAACUCUAAUGACUACCUUUGCACAAGCAACUCCAUUGACAUAUUUUGAGCAGCCACCUUUAGGUGACCAACUCCGAAAACCAACUCUAGGCUCCAAUAACCACCUCUAACCACAAACUUCGAUGAAUAUCACUUUGGAUGAUCAACUUCAAUGACAACCAUCUCUGGCAACCAACACUAACAUAUAAUCAAGAGACCAACUUUGAUGAAGGCCACCUAUAAUGAGACCGUUAGUGAUAACUCUAUUUUUUGUGAACACGUAAAUAGACGUUUGCACAUUUCCUCCAACUAGUGGACAAACAACGAAACAAGAUAGGAAUUGUUCUCUUUUUAGCUAACAUUUAUGAUGGAGUUAAAAUUAACUGAGAGUUCAAAAUUGAAGGUUAGGGAGUAGAGAAAAAUGUUCAUUUUAUUGAAAUAUAAGGUGUCAAAGUAUGAUAUAUGUUUACUUGGUAGAAGUUUUGUUAGAUUUGAAGGAAUAGAAGAAAAAAAGCAUUUUUUAGUAAUUUUUUUUAUAGAAAAAGUAGUGUACAUUUGGAGGAAAAAAAAAAAACUCAAUACAAACUCAAUUAUGUUUUAGAAAAAACGCACCACAUAUACGUCAACAUAACUUUACACAAACUUUUAACUUAGCUCAACUCACUACUCCAAAGAUCCAAACACAGACAUUCUAACUUCCAAAUAAUAAUUACCAACCUAACUUAACUAUGCACAGUCAACAUCUCUUUAAAGCUUUGUUUGAAGCCUCAAAAUUCUGAGUGAUUUUAUUUUCUAACAGUUUCAAAUAAAUUUCGUUUUUUAUCACAUAAAAGAGAAGGAUUUUAAAAUUUGAAAUGAUUUCAAAUCAUGUUUUUAUUUGAAAAUUUUUCUUGCCAAAAUAAUCGGUUUUUGUAGGAUUUUAUAGGGUUUAGAGUAAAUUAUAUAAUUGACCUCGUCAUUUUCUAAUUUUCAAGUAACAAUCAUAGAUAAAAGUCUAAUUUAGUGAAUUCUUAACUUUUUUUUUUUUUAAAUGCAUAAAAGUCUAAUUUUCAAGUAACAACGAAACUGUUGAUGUGCACACGUGUGUGUGUGUCUGUGUGUGUGCUUAUGUGUGUCUGUGUGUGUGCGGACGCGUAUGUGCUUGUGCGCGUGGGUGUGUCGGUGUGUGUGCGCUCAUACGUGCGUGUGUACGUGUGUGCGCAUUUGCCCGUGUCCGUGUGUGCUUGUGUGUGAACAAGUUGAUAUAUUUUAAUGUUGAGUUUCUCUCAAUUUUAAAAUAAUAAUUUUAUUAUCUUGAUAUUCAAGUCAUUAAUGUUAUUUUGAGAUAAAAGAUAGCGAACAAGUUGAUAUUUUUUAAUUUUGAAAUUCAAUUUAGGUUAUUUUAAUACAAAAUCUAUCUGAGAUUUUGAAAUUUUGAAAAAUAAUAAUUCUGUUAUUUUGAAAUUCAAUUUGGUUGUUUUGAAAUUUCAAUUCCAUUAGGUUAUUUUGAAAAUUGUAAGAUUGAGUAAAUUUAUGAAAAUCUUGAAUCAAUUACUUGAGUCUCGAGAUAUUAAGAAAAAAUUUAUGAUAUAGGUUUAUGUAUCUUUUUCAGAUAAAAAAAUAAUUAAAAGUUGAUAAAUGCAUAACAUAAACUAAUUACAAAGUAGAAACAAAAUAAUUACAGUUGGAGAAGAUGGAUAUUUUGGUAUUUUAGAAAAUAUCAUGCACGUGAUAGAAUGCUAUUUGCUAAAAUUCAAAAGAAAAAGUAGUUUUGUCAUUUUUAAAAUGACCCAUAAAAACGUUGUUAUAUCUCUUAUGACAAAGAGUGUGGAUCUACUGGUCCAUAUUCGACUUGUUUUUUGUUGGUAAAAUUGGAUAAAACUUCAUUAUAUUAAAAUAAUUACACUAAUGACACUUUUCAACCAAUAUUGAUAAAAAUUGUUAUUUAAUUAAUGUUAUUAAGUCAAAUGAAUAUGGUUUAAAAGUUUUUCUAUACACAAUUAAUUUAAUUAUUUUUAAAUUUUAAUUCAUUUACACAUCUUUAUACAUAUGUGUGUGUGUGCGCAUGUGUUCGUGUGUGUGUGCGUGUGCGCGUGCGCGUGCGUGUGUAGGUAAGUGUGGAUGGGUGUGCGUGCAUAUGUAUGUGUGUGUGUGUGCAAAAGUGCGUGCGUGCGCACGUGUGCGAGUGUGGUUGCGUGCAUGUGUAUGUGUGCGUUCGUGCGUGUGUGCGUGUGCGAACAUGUUGAUAUUUUUUAGUGAUGAGAUUCUUCCAAUUUUAAAAUAAUAAUUUCGUUAUAUUGAUGUUUAAGCCAUUAAUGUUAUUUUGAGAUAAAAAUAGCGAACAAGUUGAUAUUUUUUAAUUUUGAAUUCAAUUAAGGUUAUUUUGAUACAAAAUCUAUGUUGAGAUUCUCAAAUUCUGAAAAAUAAUAAUUUUGUUAUUUUGAAAUUAGUAAGAUUGAAUAAAGUUAUUAAAAUAUUGAAUCAAUUAGUUGAGUCCCAAGAUAUUAAAAAAAAAGUUGCAAUAUGGAUUAAUUAAAAGCUGAUAAAUGACAUAAAUUAAUUACAACGUAGAAACUAAAUAAUUACAGUUGGAGAAGGUGGAUAUUUUGUAAAAUACCAUGCACGUGCAAAAAAUGUUAUUUGCUAAAAUUCAAAAGAAAAAAUAGUUUUUCCAUUUUUUAAAAUAACUCAUAGAAAAGUUGUUAUAUCUCUUAGGACAAAGAGUGUGGAUCUACAGGUCCAUAUUCGACUUAUUUUUUGUUGGUAAAAUUACAUAAAACCGCAUUAUAUUGAAAUAAUGACACUCUUAAACCAUAGAAAUUAUAAUUUAAUUAAUGUUUUUAAGUCAAAUGAACAUGAUUUUUACUCCUAAACAUAAUUAUUGUAAAUGUUUUUUAAUCUUAAUUCAUUUACACAUCUUUGUGCAUAUGUGUGCAUGCGCGUGUGCGUGUGGGUGAGUGUGCGUGUACGCUAGCGUGUGCAUGUGUGUGUGUUUGUGCGUGUGUCCGUGUGUGCGCAUGUGCACGUGUGUGUGUGUCUGUGUGUGCUCAUGUGUGCGUGUGCUUGUAUACGAACAAGUUGAUAUUUCUUAAUGUUGAGUUUCUUUCAAUUUUAAAAUAAUAAUUUAAUUAUUUUGAUAUUCAAGUCAUUAAUAUUAUUUUGAGAUAAAGAUAGUGAACAAGUUGAUAUAUUUUAAUUUUGAAAUUCAAUAACAUAAUUGAGAUUAUGAAAUUCUGAAAAAAUAAUAAUUUUGUUAUUUUGAAAUUCAAUUUGGCUAUUUUGAAAUUCAAAUUCAAUUAUGUUAUUUUAAAAUUCAAAUUCAACAUGCGUGCGUUCGUGCGUUUGUCCAUGUGUGUGUGUGCGGGUGUGUGUGAGUGUGCGUGCGUGCGUGUGUGUGUGCGUUCCUACAUGUGGGUGUGUGUUCGUGUGUGCGAACAAGUUGAUAUUUUUUAAUGUUGAGAUUCUCUCAAUUUUAAAAUAAUAAUUUAGUUUUCUUGAUAUUCAAGCCAUUAAUAUUAUUUUGAGAUAAAGAUAUCGAACAAGUUGAUAUUUUUUAAUUUUGAAAUUCAAUUAAGGUUAUUUUGAUACAAAAUCUAUCGUUGAGAUUCUCAAAUACUAUUAAAUUAUAAUUUUGUUAUUUUGAAAUUCAAAUUCAAUUUGGUUAUUUUGAAGUUAGUAAGAUUGAAUAAAAUUAUUAAAAUGUUGUUCUCAAAUUAUAUAAAUUUGGUUACACUAGAAGAAAUUUGCCAUUCAAUAUCGGUUUAAAAUCGACAUUAAUGAUCUUUGGUGUCAGUUCAGAACGACAUUAAUGAUCUUUGGUGUCAGUUCGGAACUGACAUCUAUGCUAGCGUUAUUAAAGGCCUUUAAUGUCUUUUUUGCUUUGAUGUCGGUUUAAAAACGAUAUCAAAUGCAUCAGUAAUGUCGGUAUGGUCAUUGAUGUUGGUUUAAAACCGACAUUUUUUAUGGUGAUAUUGUUGACCUUUAGUGUCGGUUUGCCUUUGAUAUCGUUUUUAAACCGACAUUAAAGUCUUGUUUUUGGAUCUAUUUUACAAAAAAAAUAUAUAAUUAUUGCAUUAUUGUUCAUUUUUUAUAAACUGACAUUAGAUACAUGUAAAUAAAUAUUUUUUUCUCACACCAACAAAUCAAUAAAAUUAAUAUUAUUUUAGGAACUACAAUAUUUUUCUUUUACAUUUGUAUAUAGAAAAUGAAAUCUUAAUAUUGCGUUUGUAUAUACAUUCUAUAAUAAUACAUGAAACUAGAUCCUAAUACAAGACUUAAAUAAGAAAUCUUAAACGCUUUCACAAUCUUCAACUUCAACAAUUGCUUCCAUCUACUUAGCUUAGCUUGGCUGGCUAUCUAAGACCAAAAUAUACUUUACAACCUGGGGAAGAUUAAAUCUAGAAUUUGCAAAAUUAGUACAUAUUAUUUAAAAUCAAACUAAACAGACUGCAAUCUAAAUGUGGAAAAUUAAAAAUUACCACAAAGUUUCAGUAGAGUAAAUAAUGUAGCAGCAACAAAGAAGACAAUUGAAAUGGCAACCCAAAAGUGCUGCAAAAAUAAAGAAGAAAAUAAGCUUUGAUCAAACAACUCAUUAAGAAGAAGAAAAUAACCUAAUUUGGUUCUUCAAAGAUCUAUAAGAAAAAGAGGAAUACAACUAAAGAAUAAUUAUACCAUCCUCGACUCUUACUUCAAAGCAAAUUUUGAAUGUUCAAUUUAGCAAUGCUAGUCUAUAGGCUUCUUACUCUUAAUUGUAUAAAUUUACCCAUCAAUAGCAACAUUGUUUUUAUAGAGAAAGUUAAACAAUGGAGAUGAUAAAUAAUCUUACAAACUCCUAUUGGAUCGUUUUUCUUUUCAAAUGAAAAUAGUUAAUUUAUUUCAUUUAUGGAAGGUGAAAAUCUCAAAUAUAUAGUAAAAGAACAUGGAAUAUAAGGAAGCCCAUAAAAAGAAGAGACUCCACUAGCUAGGUAUUGAUCAAAGAUAAAUAUAUGGAUAAAUAGAUGCAACCUACAAAUAUAUCAAAACAGACUAAUACUCAAACUAAACUAAAGAAAACAAAAACAUUUACUACUAAAAGAUAAAAUAAAACACAAUUCAAAACAAUUAAUUACCAAGAUUGAUCUCAAUCGAAAACCAAAACGCAUCACAUUAUGAAGAUAUUGUGCUUCACAUAACACUCCAAAUAGCUAUACCAAAAUUACUUACUCUACAUUUUCCAUUUUGGCAAAUCCACCUACAAGAAUGCUAGUUACCAAGCUCAUUUCUAUGCCUUCUCUUCUUUCAUUUUUCUAACAAAAGAUAGUAUGAAUAAGGCUGCACAUUUGAAAAAAUAAAGACAAUUAAUAAUCAAUAAUGCUACCUAGCAGUCACAAGUUAACAAUCAAAUGAAGAAACCCAAGGAUUUUUGCGGCGGAAGCACGAUGAAGAUUGGUUGCCGUUCGCGAUCUAGGGUCACAGAUUGAGAAGAGAAGAAAAUUAGAAACCAACUUGGAGAGAAAGAAAAGAAAAAUUGAUAGGGAAAGAGUAGAGUAAGAAAGAGUAAAGUAAGAAAGAGAAAAGUAAGAAAGAGAGGAAAAUUUUAGUUUUUAAAACCUAAAAUUUUUUUAAAAAGAAAUUAAAAAUGGGGGGUCAUUAAUGUCAGUUUUUACAAAAUACAAAAAAUUAAAAAAAAUAAAACUGGCUGAUCAUUAAUGUCGAUUAAAAACGACAUUAAACCCUUAUCAUUAAUGUCGGUUUGAUCCACCUUUUCAAAAACGACAAUAAAGAUAAUUUUUCAUUUUUUUCACCUGACACUACAACCCAGAUUUGUUGUAGUGUUAUUAUGGGUUGAUGUAUCUUUUUCAGAUAAAAAAUGCUAUUUGCUAAAAUUCAAAAGAAAAAGUUGUUUUGUCAUUUUUUAAAAUGACCCAUAAAAACGUUAUUAUAUCUCUUAUGACAAAGAGUGUGGAUUUACUAGUUCAUAUUUGACUUGUUUUUUGUUGGUAAAAUUGGAUAAGAUCGCAUUAUAUUGAUAUAAUUACACUAAUGACACUCUUAAAUCAAUAUUAAUAGAAAUUAUAAUUUAAUUAAUGUUAUUAAGUUAAAUGAAUAUAGUUUAAAAGUCAUUCUAAACACAAUUAAUGUAAUUAUUUUUUAAAUUUAAUUCAUUUUCACAUCUUUGUGCAUAUGUACGUGUGUGCGUGUGUGUGUGCAUAUGUGCGAGUGCGCGUUUGCCCGUGUGGAUUGAUGUGCGUGUGCACGUGUGUGUGCGUGUAUGCAUGUGUGCAUGUGUGUGUAGAUGUGUGUAUGCAUGUGUGAAUGUGUGCGUGCGUUCAUGCGUGUGUUCGUGUGUGUGCAUGCACAUGUGCUUGUGUGUGUGGGUGUGUGCAUAUGCUUGUGUGUGCGUGUCAGAGUGUGCGUGUGCCCAUGUGGGUGUGUGUGUGCGUGUCUGUGACUGCACAUGUGCCCGUGUGGGUGGAUGUGCGUGUGCGUGCAUGUGUGUGUGGAUGUGUGCAAAUGUGCAUGUGUUCGUGUGGGUGGGUGUGCGCGUGCGUGCAUGUGUGUGUGGAUGUGUGCAAAUGUGCAUGUGUCCGUGUGGGUGGGUGUGCGUGUGUGUGUGCAAGUGUGUGUGUGUGCACGUGCGUUCAUGCGUGUGUUCGUGUGCGUGCAUGCGCAUGUGCCCGUGUAGGUGGGUGUGGGUGUGUGUGAGUGCGUGCGUUCAUGCGUGUGUUCGUGUGUGUGCAUGCGCAUGUGCGCAUGUAUGUGGGUGUGUACGUAUGCGUGUGCGCGUGCGUGUGCUUGUGUGUGCGUGUGAAAGUGCGCGUGUGUCUGUGUGGGUGUGUGUGUGCUCGUGUGUGUGAGUGCGUAUGUGUCAGUGUGGGUGAGUGUGCAUGUACGCGUGCGUGCAUGUGUGUGCAUGUGUGCAAGUGCGCAUAUGUUUGUGUGGGUGGGUGUGCGUAUGUUCGUACAUGUGUGUGUGUGUGCGCGUGCGUGUCUGGAUGUGUGCGUGCGUUCAUGCGUGUGUUCGUGUGCGUGCAUGCGCAUGGGCGUGCAUGUGUGUGGGUGUAUGCAUGUGCGUGUGCGAGUGCACGUGUGCCAAUGUGGGUGGGUGUACGUGUGCUUGUGUGUGUAUGAGUGCACAUACGCCUGUGUGGGUGCGCGUGCGUGCAUGUGUGUCGAUGCGUGUGUGCCCGUGUGGGUGGGUGUGCGUGUGCGAGUGCAUGUGUGUGCACGUGUGUGCGCGUGCGUAUGUGUUCGUGUGUGUGCAUGUGCAUGUUGCGCGUGUGUGCAUGCGUAUUUGUGCGUGUACGUGUGCUUGUACGCGCAUGUGCGAGUGCGCGUGUGCCCGUGUAGGUGGGUGUGCGUGUGUGUGAGUGCGCAUGUGCCCGUAUGGGUGGACGUGCGUGUUUGCGUGCAUGUGUAUGUGGAUGUGUGCAUGCGCUCAUGCGUGUGUUCGUGUGUGGGUGUGUGCGUGUGCGUGUGCGAGUGCGUGUGUACCCGUGUGGGUGGGUGUGCGUGUGUGAGUGCGCAUGUGGUCGUGAGGAUGGGUGUGAGUGUGAGUGUGCACAUGUGUGUGUGUUUGUGUAUGCGUGUACAUGUGUGCGUGUGUGCAUAUGUGUGUGCACACUGCCUUCACAUGGAUGUCAAAGAAGCAACCCAUUGUUACUCUCUCUACGUGUGAAGCAUAAUAUGUGGUUGCUACCUCAUGUAGAAAUCUAUUAAAGGAGUUAUGAUAUUGCCAAAAGAAGAGCCAACCAGAAGUUUUCAUAGAUAACAAAUCAACAAUUGCUUUGGCCAAAAACUAGUUUUCCACAACCAGAAUAAAGCACAUUGAUACACAUUAUUAUUAUAUUAGAGAGUGCAUCAGAAGAAAGGAAGUAUAGUUAGAGUGCGUGAAGACUCGUGAUCCGGUAGCCAACAUUUUCACUAAGCCUCUUAAAAAAGAAGAAUUCACAAAAUUGAGAGACCUGCUUGGAGUAACAAAAUCAAGUUUAAGAGAGGAUGUUGAAAUAUAAACUUGAUUUUGGGUUUAACAAUAUUUAGGCAUAGCCCAAAUAAAAGCCAAAUUUCUAUAAAGUAUUAAUUACUACAAUAUUCUAGAUAAAUCAAUUGUAGGAGAUAUUUAGAGAAGAUUGAAGAUACAUUUAGAAAAUAUAAGAAAUGAGUGUAAUUGUAAAGAAUAUUCUAGAGAGUCAUUUGUAACCGUUAAAUAAAGAAUGUGUUGCCAAAAUCCUAGCCAUUCAUUUAGGAGUGACAACUAGGAUAAAUAAGAGGGAUGUCCUUCGACUUGUAUUAAGUCAAAAAAAUAGAAGUGUCUAAUAACACAAGUAGCCUCUUAUCUCAAUUCUCUCUUCCAAAUUUCCUCCAACCUCCAAAAAUCCUUUCCAACAGUGUAUCAUUGUAUGAGUUAGUAGUAGUAGAAAGAGGAGGGCGAUAUUUGUUGGCUUCAUCCCGUCUUUUAGGCUUAUAGAAGGUAGUUUGGGAGGGGGUGUCCACUAAAGUUGAUGCCAAAUCUUUGUUUUUGGAGGCAUAAAAAAAUGAUGAAAUUGUUAAGCAACUCUUAGAAAACAAUACAAUUUGACAUUUUAUAGUUGAGGAAUUGAUCUGAAGAUUGAUAAGCUUAUUUGCUUGGACUAAAAAAGUUUGUUUAAUUUUUUUAAAAAUGAAAAUGGCUACAAUUAGGUUUUUCUCCCAGCGUUACUAAAGUUUGAUUGAAAUGCCUUCAGAUUUAAAUUUCUAAAUGGUUUGUUGAAUUAGUGUUUAAUUAUCUCAUAGGUUAACUGUCGCUCUUACUAUUGAUGCGUGACUACAAUUGGUAUGUCUGAAAGUGAAACCUAAACCUUUCCUUCACUAGAAGAAAUAUGGGCUUUAGUGUCAGGUGAAAAAAAUGAAAAUCUGGCUUUAAUGUCAUUUCUGAAAAGACGGAUCAUUAAUGUCGGUUUUAAAUCGACAUUAAUGAUAUUUCCAUUUUUAAUUUUUAAUUUUUUUUAUUAUGUGAAAACUGACAUUAAAGACCCUUCCCCUUUUUAAUUUCUUUUUUAAUUUUUUUAAGUUGUAAAAAUUAAAUUUCCCUCUCUCUCUUACUUUACCCAUUCCUAUCAAAAUUUUCUCUCUCGAUUUCGAAUUUCCUUCUCCCUUCUCUUCUCAUUCUAUGACCUAAAACUCAUCGUCGUCUUUGUGCCCAUAAUUCAUCCCAAUCGCCGUCGUGGCUAAAACUCUUCCUUCAAGUCUUUCCCAGUCGCCAUUGUGCUUUGGCUAUCGAGAAACGCCUCUGUUGUGCUCAAUCAUCUUCGACCAUUCGCAGUCGCCCAGAACUCUUCCUUCAAGUCUUUCCCAGUCACAGUCGCCGUCGUGCUUCCGCCGCAAGAGUCCCUCGUGUCCAAUCAUCUUCAAAUCCACCACCAUAGCCACCACCGUGCCCAGCCAUUGCAACCAUCGCGUGCCCAGCCGUCAUCUUCGGCUAGCACAGGGCAGACCAAGACAGAGGGCAACUCAACCCGUGAAUACCAAUCUGGUAUUACUUCAUCAGACAUUGGACGAAAGUGGACUACAGAGGCCCUUUCGAGCCUUCUUCUGGAGGUUCAAAGAAUUUUCAUACGCUUUUUUUUUAGGCAUCAAAAUAGAUCAUUGAAUCAAUGUUUAGUAGGUUCUAAUUUCUGUUGUCUGCUUUUUGUUAUUAACAUAUUGGUAUGUGGAUUUAGUUUGGUAAGAAAAUGUAAUGGUAAAUAGAGAGUUGAUUUGUAAGAUAUGAAGAGGAAGUGGGCAGUGGGUUAAUGGAGAUUGGGGUUUAAAGGUAAAGAAGGAAAGUACCAAAGAGAGUGAAGAAAUGAAAUAGUGAAUGAUAAAUAUAAAAGGUAACUACAAAUAAGAGAAAGGGAGAGAUUUAGUUUAGCAUUGUUUGGAAAUUGGAACGUAAUAUUCACUUCUCUAUUUUCCUCAAUUUAAUUUAGGAUUAACUUUUGAGACAUUUUUCACUGACUUCGUGUUAUUAACAUAUUGGUAUCUGGAUUAGUUUGGUAAAAAAAUGUAAUGGUAAAUAGAGAGUGUUGAUUUGGAACUUAUGGAGAUGUAGUGAGAAGUGUGUUAAUGGAGAUUGAGGUUAAUAAGGUGAAGACUAGAUUUAUAUUAAGUGUGUUAUAGGGACUGUAAGUUCAUCUUUUGUUUUUAAACAUAUAAUAAUUAUUUGUGUUUUAUUUCUAUUUCUCUAAUCUUAAAAUGUUCUUAUUAAUUCUUAUACUUUAGUUUAUGUAGUAGUAAUCUUUGUUUAUUUCAAGUUUGGAAAUUUAUUUGACAAAGGUUUAAUGUUGGAGACUACACACUAGAAGAAAACAACCCUACAAUGACAGUUAUAUAUCUCAAAAAAUGAAUGGAAGAAAAAAAAACUGUCACGAAAUAUAAAAUUUCGCGUUUUUGGCGGGAAAAGACGGAAUUUUUCGGAAAACACUUUUCGCGACAGUUAUUAACUGUCAUAGAAUGUUAGGGUUAAAAAUUUUAUUAUUUUAUAUUUAAAAAAUUAAAAUUACAUAUUUAUAUUUUUAAAAAAACCCAAAUUCCCCAAAUUUCCCCCAAUUUCUUCCUCCCCUCCGCGUGAAGUCCCGUCGGCUUUCGCCCAUUUCUGACCGUCUGAAGUCCCGUCGCCACCACCAAUCCCCUCUUGCCCGUCCGUCGAAACCUUCUCCACCAACCCGUCGCCACCACCCCCGUAUUCUCCAAACCUCUCCAAUCAACCCGAAGCAACAAAAUCGUGGGCGUCGGUUAUUUAAUGUCAUAGAAUGUUACUGUAAUGCCCUAAAGGUAUAUAUAUAUUUUUUGUUUUUAUUAUAUAUAUAUAUAUUUAUUAUUUAUAUUUAAUUUAAAUAAAAAGAAAAGAAAAAGAAAUAUAUAUAUUGUUUUUUUCUUUUUUCCUUUUCUUUUCUUUUUCCUUUUUCUUUUUUUCCCUAUUUCCUUCUUCCUCCCCGUGCGUCCUUCCCCUUCUCCCCAGCCGCAGCCGCCGCCCCUCUUCUCCUUCCUCCCGUGCGCCGCGACGACUCCACCGUCUCCUUCUCCCUUCCCUUUCGUUUCCUUCCCGCCGCAGCCCAGCCGCAGCCAGCCGUCUUUCUCUUCCGUUUUCUUCCCGCCGCCCAGCCGCAGCCCGCGAUCUGUCGUCUCCAUCUCCGGUUCGCGAAGCAACCUUGCAGCAGUCGUCCCGCGCGCCGAUCUGCCAUCUCCAUCGCCGGUUCUGUCUUCGUCGAAGCCCGAGCCGCCGUGUGAACCAGUAAUCGCCACGUCCGCCGCUCACAACCGCCGUGAAGCCAGCCGCGCAACCUUCGUUCCAACCGCUGCACUGCCGCGCGAUUCUCCGGCCACGUCUUCUUUAGCCGACCGCUGACCGACCCACACUCUUUUCUCUUCUUUUGGGGGUAAGUUGAGACCCAAAAUUACUUAUAGGGACUGUAAGUUCAUCUUUUGUUUUUAAACAUAUAAUAAUUAUUUGUGUUUUAUUUCUAUUUCUCUAAUCUUAAAAUGUUCUUAUUAAUUCUUAUACUUUAGUUUAUGUAGUAGUAAUCUUUGUUUAUUUCAAGUUUGGAAAUUUAUUUGACAAAGGUUUAAUGUUGGAGACUACACUUGUAACAUCUCGAACUCUAGGGUACCUUAUUAUAUAUAUGUGUGUAUAUAUAUCUUUUUUUUUUAGAAAAGAAGUUAAGGGAGAAAGAGAUUUGGAAGGUUAAGAUAAUAAUAAUAUACAUUUAAUAAUAUUGUUAUAAUUUUUUUUAAAUCAUUAAGUUAAAUAAAGAAAAAGGAAAUAAAAAAAAAAAAAAGAAAAUCAAAGAUUUUCUUUCUCUCUCCUCUCUCGCACGUCCCUUCCCCGUUUUUCUUUUUCUUUCUUUUUCUCUUCCUCUUCCUCACAUCUUCCAGCCGCCCCACCCCUCUUUUUCUUUUCAUCUCCGAUUCACGAAGCCGCCGACCGGAGGUUCUUCCACCGUUCAGAUCCACGACAGCCACCGUCUCCCUCUGAUUAUGCUUUUGGGGUUGAGAUGUUUAUUAAAAAUGGGUUGAAACAUUCAAAGAUGUCGAACGUCAUGACUUGUCCUUGUUUAAAAUGCGUAAAUGCAAAGACUUUAGAUGUGAAUACAAUUAGAGAUCAAUUAUUUUUUUAACGACAUCGAGUGGGGAAGAAAUUCUUGUACAAACCAUCACGUUCUUAUGCAACAGUUGCUACUUGUGGCAAUUCAUGGUAUUUUAUGAAACAUGUAAGACUUGUAAUUGUUCGACUAUGCUUCUUCUUUAAUGCUAUAUGUAAGAAGACAGUUGGUUCAUCACAAUUAAAAGGAAUGCAAGAAGAUGUUGUUGUCACUCUAUGCCUAUUAGAGAAGUAUGUUCCACCAUCAUUUUUUACCAUAAUGGUACACCUUGUUGUGCAUCUCAUAAGAGAAAUUGAGUUAUGUGGACCUGUUCAUCUAAGGUGGAUGUAUCCUUUUGAACGAUACAUGAAAGUUUUGAAAAAUUAUGUGUGAAACAGAAAUCGACCAGAAGGAUGUAUGGUAGAAAAUUAUAUUGUUGAAGAGGCUAUAGAGUUCUGUUCAAAAUUUAUGGUGGGUGCUAGCACUAUUGGACUAAACUCAUCUGUAAUAAAAGCAGAUUCAAACGUGGAUAGAUCAUUAUCAGCUUCUUCUUUUAUCAGACCGAUUAAGGAGCAGUUAGAUCAAGCUCAUCUUUACGUUAUUCAAAAUGUAAACGAAGUUCUACCAUACAUUGAGUACGUUCUAAAUCCCAUCUAUUCUCAUUUUACAUAAGUUGGUUAUGUAAUUACCUAAUAAUUUUGUUAUUUCUGACAGAAAAAAUAUGGAGAGUUUGUGUAAGCUUAACUCUGGUAAAUAUAGAAGUAAAAAAUGGAUUCAAGAAGAGCAUAAUCGAACAUUCAGUCGGUGGUUGUCCACACGGGUAAUUACUAGAACCAUACACUUCCAUGUUUAUUUUAGAUCUAAACUAAUCAGAUCCAAUAUAUUUUGUAGGUUGCCCUCGCUCUCGAAGUUCCUAAAAAUUCCAUCACGCCUUCCUUAAGAUGGAUAGCUCAUGGACCUUCUCCACAUGUGACUACAUAUUCUGAUUACAUGAUCAAUGGUUAUUACUACCACACAAAAAGACGUCGAUGAUAUUAGGAGAGUUCAAAAUAGUGGAGUUAGUAUAACAACCACUACAAUGCAAGUGUCUAGUUCUAAAGACAAAAACCCAGUCAUAUCAGAUAUGACAUUUUAUGGCAUAAUACAAGAGAUAUGGGAGAUUGAUUACCAUCAAUUAUCCUUUGUUUUAUUUAAGUGUGAUUGGGUUGAUAAUAGAAGUGGAGUCAAAGUGGACGAGCUUGAGUUUACCAUUGUGGAUCUCAAACGUAUUGGACAUAAAUCAGACCCAUUUGUUUUAGCCUCCCAAGCAAAACACAUAUUCUAUGUGAAAGAUUAUGCAAAUCCUAAAUGGUCAGUGGUUUUAACAUCUCCACGUAGAACUAUUGAAGAAGAUUUCUUUGAAGAUGAAAUAGGAGAUAUGCUACUAGAGUGUGGUUAUGGAGUUGUUCAAAAGAUGCCCAAUGUUGAUACACCUCACGAGAUUGAUGAUACAACUUCAUCAUAUAUUAGACAUGAUUGUGAGGGUAGAUGGGUUGAUAAGUAAUAAUUGUAUAAAUGUUUUAUUAAGGUAUGCCAUUUACUUUCCUUUAUAAUAGAUUUAUGUUCAGAGAUUGUAAUUACUAAGCUUAUUUUAUGUCCUUACUUUGCUCACUAACGUGCUUACUAAUACAUAUAUGUUUUUUUUGCAGAUUCAUAGAUGGAGGAGUCACAUACUUAAGUGAGGAUGAAAGAAAAAUGAUUCCCAAAGCAAGAAACAAAUCAUUCGUGCCAUGUGGCCCAACGACUAUGCCAGAGUUAGCAUGUAAGAAAUUCUGGGCAACGGUUGCCCGUUCAAUUUAAUGAACAUGGGCAACUUGUAAGAGCUAUAUCUAAGAAAAUUCAAAGUUACAUUGGUGUGUGUGUUCGACAGCAGAUUCCUAUCACAUACAAAUCUUGGAAACAAGUUUCGAAUGAGUUGAAAGAUAAAAUCUACGAUUGUAUAUCGGUAUGAAUUCUAUAAUUACAUUUUUCUUACAAUGUAGUUUGAUUUCCCUAAGUCUAAAUAUUUUUUUCUUUUUUCUUGUGUAGAUGUCGUUUGAGUUACAUCCCAAUGUUAGACAUUCUAUCCUAAUGUCUGCAUCAAGAAAGUAUCGAACUUUCAAAACUACGUUAACUCUUCUGUAUAUACUUCCGUUUAAGGAUCAACCAUCAUGUUUGUAGUUUCCUCCUAAGAUCUAUUCUCAUAUUAAUCAAGAAGAUUGGAAAUCCUUUGUGGACGCUAGACUGACUGAAGAAUGUGAGGUAAAUAAAUUUAAUUACAUGUUAACUUUAAUGUUGGUUUGGUAUGUAACUACAAACUAAUUUUUUGUAUAGGAUUAUAGUCGUAUUCAAAGGGAAAGAAGAUCAAAAUGCAUAUACAAUCAUCACAUUGCUAGUAAGGGAUAUGAAAAUCCUGCCGAAGAAUUAGUAAGUAUUUCUAAUUGAAUGAAAUAAUUUAUCUUAACAUGUUUAUGCUAAUUAAACAUAUAUCUUUGGUUGCAUAAUAUAACGUGUGAUCUUUCCUAUCGUUCAACUCUUUGGAAAGAAGCAAGAAAAGGAAAAAACAAUGAUUAUUUUGAUGAUGCUACUCGAGAUUGUGUCUCUCGAAUCGUAAGUUUGCUUGCGAUUUACUUAUAUACAAUAUUUAAUCUUUUGUUAACUUAGUUAAUGAUGAAUACUUGUAUUGUUCUAUAGGAUGCAUUAGUUGAAACACAUAGAGAUGAGGACAUAUUGACUGAGUCAUUGGGCUCUAAGGAGCAUGGUGUACGUGUACGUGGCAUGGGUGGUUUUGUCUCUCAAUCACUAUAUUUCAAGACAGUGAAAGGGAAAGAGAAAAUUGCAAGUUCUCAAGUUGUAGAAGAUGACUCAAAAAGCAAAAGUUACAAAAAGGGUCAUAAUCACUUGAGAUCGUCCAUCAGAAGUGUUAACAUAGAUCUCUAUGCCGAUGAGGAUUUGGGCAACACACCUAUGAACGAAGAAGUGAAGGUAAUUAACUUUGUUGUCAGUUUUAAAAUUUUAAUGUUUAUAGGAUAAAUUGUUCUUAAUGAUGCUUUUAAUACUUGUAAAGUAAACACCGUGCAAAUUGGCUAUAGGAACAAUUAAUAAUAUUGUUGCAAUAGCAACCGUACUUGAUGAUAGCAAUGGUGGUCUCAAUGUUAAAAUCUUGGUGGACUUGCUCACAGGAGGAGAUUGUAGUUUACCUAUUCCAGUGAAGGGCAAGAUAGAGACUUUAAAUCAAGCAUUAGGUAAUAUUGUUGAAUGACCUCGUUGACUUGUUUAUGUGCUAUUGAAGCUUUGAUAUUUAUUUGUGAUUGUACUUUAGGUUUUGAUAUUAUUUUGUUUGUGCUUGGAGCAUUCAACCCCAAAGGAUGUUCUGUAUUCUUCAAAUUACAUAAAUGUUAAUGGAACCAUUAAGCUCUUAUAUGGACAUGUCGUGAACAAUAUGAAGGAUGUAGAUAUGGUUCGCAUCCUAAUGAACGAGCUAAUAUUCGGUAAAAACAAAUUCAUUUAUUUAGCUCGUUAGGACUUGCUCCAUUAUUGCGGCAUGGUAGAAAUAGGCUAUAUGUGCAUCCUAGCAUACAUUACGUAAGUAAACAUCUUUUACUCAUCUUUAUGUCCAAUACUAUAGCUAUAGUUAUUUUGUUCCUUUUUAACUAAGGUUGCUUUUACUUAGAUAUCUUUGGGAUGAAUGUGAUUGUGGAAGCAAGUUUUUUGUUAUGACCAAGCAAAAAUAACAUCACAUAUCAAGGAUCGUGAUCUCCGAUCCAGAAAUUUUGCCAACCAGUUAGAAGCGGCUACCUUGGAACAAAUAGUUCUAAUUCCGUAUAAUACUGGGUAAAUAAAUAAGAUUAACACAUUAUUAUGUUUUUCAUUGAGGUUAAAUGUAUACUCACAUUGAAGAUGUUUAUUGUAGUUUUCAUUGGAUGUUGCAUGUCAUCGAUCUUCGAGAGAACUGUGUUUAUGUUUUGGACUCUCUUCGAAGUAAAGUUAACGAAGACAUCCAUGGAGUCAUAAAUGUGACUUAUGAUUUACUUCUUAUUUGGACUUCAUUGUCUUCUAAUUCUAAUGUUUCCAAAUGUAUAGAGGAUUAAAAACAUGGCAAGCUAAGCAUGAUUUACAACAUUAUCGGUCAAAUCCGAAAUGGAAACCUAUAAAGGUAAUUUGCAUUGACACAUAAUUAUUUUCAAUGAAACAUAAGAAUAAUUUGUAUGUAAUUUAUAUACAUGCAGUGUCCUCGUCAAUUGGAUUCGGUUGGGUGUGGGUAUUAUGUCCAAAAGUAUAUACAUGAAAUCGUGCAUAAUUCUAGUACUCCCAUCACUAGCCUUGUAAGUUUCUACUUUCACUUUUUAUAUGUUACAAAUUACAUAAAUUAUCUAAACUUAGUCUUUUAUAUGUUGAAUUCUAUAGCUAGAAAUAGUAUUAGUUUGCCAUUGGAUGUGUGGAAGUGUAUGCUGGUUUUGUAGGGGUUGAUCUUCCUUGUAGGUGAAAUGGAAAUAUUGGUUUGCCAUGGAAGUGUGGAAAUGUAUGUGUUGGUUUUGUAGGUUUCUUACAUGUUGAAUUCUAUAGCUAGAAAUAUAUUAGUUUGUCAUUGGAUGUGUGGAAGUGUAUGCUGGUUUUGUAGGUGUUGAUCUUCUUCCUUGUAGGUGAAAUGGAAAUAUUGGUUUGCUAUGGAAGUGUGGAAAAAUGUAUAUAUGUUGGGUUUUUAGGUGUUGAAUUCUGUAGCUAGAAAUAUUAUUAGUUUGCAUCGAAGUGUGGAAGUGUAUGUGCUGGUUUUGUAGGUUUGAAUUCUAUAUAGCUAGAAAUAGUAUUAGUUUGCCAUUGGAUGUGUGGAAGUGUAUGCUUGUUUUGUAGGUGUUGAUCUUCUGCCUUGCAGGUGAAAUAUGGAAGUAAUAUAUAAGGUUUGCCAUGGAGUGGUAGACAGCUAGCAAUCAUGCAACAAUUAUUUUUUAUACUUUUUUAAUAUUCGAUGACGAACAUUUCAUGUCGUAAUUCGUAACAAAUAAUGUCGAUUUCGACACCAUGAAAAAUAAUUAAAAUAAAUAAAUUAAAAAAACAAACAAGGCUUUGAUGUCGGUUUAAAAACGACAUUAAAGGAAAACCAACAGUAAAGGUCAACAAUUACGCCAUAAAAAAUGUUGAUUUAAAACCGACAUCAGUGGCCAUCAAUGAUGCAUUUGAUGUCAUUUUUAAACUGACAUCAAAGCAAAAAUGACAUUAAAGGCCUUUAAUAACGCUAGCAUAGAUGUCAAUUCCGAACUGACACCGAAGGCCAUUAAUGUCGGUUCUAAACUGACAAUAAAGAGCAAAUUUCUUCUAGUGCUUGCUCCAUAUUAUAAGUAGAUUUUCAUUUAGCUAACUGCUAAAGUGAACUUAUGGACUUCCACUUAGGGUUCAGUCGUUAUAUUCUCGAUAGUCGAGCCCCAUAUUAUUCUCGAUAGCCGAGCCCCAUAUUGUUUGCAAUGGAAUGAGUCCUCACAUUACCCUUGAGGAGACGAACAUGAGAGCUUUUCCCUUCUCGUAACACGAAGAAAUGAAAGAUUAGCUCUAUUACUUGUCACCAGGGAGCAUUAUUUCAUGGGAGUAGAUGUAGAGACAAUAUUUGGAAAAGUUCUUUUCAACCUUUUAUGCUACUAGUGUGAGGAAGAAAAUCUAUGGCAUCACACAAGGAAAGGAUGAAUCACUUUACGAUUAUUGGGGGAGAUACUUGGCUCAGUGCCAAGUUUUUCAUCAUUAGGUACAGAACCAUAUGUUGAUUCAAUAUUUAUAUGGGUGAUUGUUGCAAUGAGAUAAAAUGAUUAUUGAUGUGGAGGCAUGAGGUGCUCUUAAGGAUAAUACGACAACUAAAGUAAAUAAAUUGAUUUCACUUUGAAAUGUAAAUUUAUUAGGUCCCUUCCUAGUAUGUAAAGGGUAUUAAGGUUAUUACAUAUUGACUGUAAUUUGAAAUGUUCAUAUUUACUUUGAAAAUUAGUAUAAUGUAUGGUGAUAUAUUAUAAUAUAAAAUUUAUCUUUUAAUUGAACUUUAUUAUAUAAAUUUAAUUUUGUAUAUGAUUUAAAAUUAAUUUAUGAAAUAAUAAAUAUUUGAACGAGUUCAAAUAUUAAUUUAAUAUGAAUUAAAUUUGUAAUAAAACUAUAGAUUAAAAUUUAAUACGUAUAUGAUACAAAUUCAAACAAUAGGUUAUGAGAGAAAUUCAUAUAUGAGUAUGAUUCAAAUCUAUAUUAAAUCAAAUAUAAAAUAUUUAAUUUAGAAAUUAAAUAAUUGAAGAAUUAAUUAAUAAUUUAGUUUAAUUCUAUUUAAUUAAAUUCAAACUAUUGGUUAUGUGAGAGAUAUUCAUUUAAAUGUGAUUUAAAUGAAAUAUUAAUUAAAUGUGAUUUAAAUAAUUAUUAUAUAUUAACUAAUUAUUUUAGUGUUAAUCAAAUUUAAGUGGAAUUUUCAAAUAUACUAAUUAAAUUGAAACUAAUUAGCAUAAUAAUUAAAUUCUCUAUAGCACAUUUGAGUCUUUUUGUAAAUAGUUUCAAUUUUUUGCUAUAUUUUGUAAAUAGUUUUAACUUUUUUGCUAUUUGUGAUCAUUAAUUUAAAUUAAGAUAAUAACUUCCAUAUGUGGGUGUUAUUUAGAGAAUGUGGGAUGCUCCCGUAUUCCUAUAUCCAAGUGGCGGUGAUUUCCAAUUAAAUAUUAAUUAGAUUAAUUUAAGAGUAAUUUACAUAAAUGUAGAAAAAUCCAAAAUAUUUAUGGUUCGUAUAACAAAAUAAGAAAAGUCCAUGAUGCGAGAUUAUUUUUUCACAAAUUCCAUAGACGUCCUUGCGAUUUAUAUCUUCUUUGUGAUUUAUUAAUAACGGGUCAUCUCGAUGCAAUUAAGGUCGAGAUCGAAUAACUAAAGGCAAAAAAAUUUCAUUUCGGAGCAUCUCAAUGUAAUGUAUGCCCAAGAUUAAAUAAAAUAAAGACAGAAUUCUUUCAUCCCGAGCCAUUUCAGUGCAAUUAAGGCCUGAGAUCGAAUAACUAAAGGCAGAAGUCUUUCAUAAUGUAGCAUCUUAGGACAAUGUAUGCUCGAGACUGAAUAAAAUAAAUGUAAAUUUGUUUCAUCCCAGGCCAUCUCUCGGUGCAAUUAAGGUUCAAGAUCGAAUAACUAAAGAUAGAAGUCGAUCGCUCCGGUUAUUGAGGUGUUGUUUCUCUUCAACAAUCAGGACUUAGUGUUAGUAAAUGGUGAAUGAAAAUUAUACUCAAUCUAGGCGAUAUAUCACUAAGCAUGUUAACUGCAUGUGAAUUGCUCACUAGACCUUCAUAUCGUGUGGCAACUAAGUCCUCUUGAGUACAAGUUUUCUUACUACUUGUCCAAGUGCAAGUGAAAUGGUAGGUUUACUUGGGUGAUCCCGGGUCGAACAUAAGGAAUUGAUUCAAGAUAUUAAUUUUAGGUAUUACUUAUUAUCUAGGCAGUAUAAAAGAAUUAAAGAAUAACAAAUGGUAUAAAAGAAAUACAAGAACAAACUACCACUAGAUAUCUACGCUUAGAGAUUCUAUAAGAGGGAAUAUGGAUGACAAAAUAGAAAUGGGAACUAACUUGUAUGCAAGAAAGAGCAAAGGAAUGUCUUUGCGUUAUAAUGCGAUUAAGUAACACGACAACUUUAAUAGGAUAUAUCUCGCUCCAUCAAAACUAAUAAUGAGAUCUAUACCAAUUCAAAGCUGCUCCAUCAAAACUAAUAAUGGACACAGUCAUUUUCUCUGACUCACUCAGUUUGUGUAUCUGAAAGUAUCUCUCAGCCCUAAACAACCAAGAAUCAGGAUCAUUUCCCACAAAAACUGGCAUUUCAAUUUUUUUAAAUUUGCUUCGGUCGCCCGCAGAAUCUUCACCCUCCAACUUGGUAUGUUUUUCCUCAUAUUUUCCUCCCAUCAUCGUCCAAUCACUGACAUCAACCAUGCUGUCAACUCACUUGAUGAUCCUUCUAGUACUUCUUCCAUCGUUGUCUUCCCUUUGAUCAUUCCUUCAAUAUAUUUCAACAGUGUUUCUGGUUGCUGUUGUUUCUUCUCAGCCUGUACUCCUAACCUCUCAAUACUCUUCGCCAAACUAAAACCAUAGAGGAUAAUUGAUAGACCACUAGUACAUGUUCUAUCACUAACUAACAGACGGUAAAACUUUGUUAUAUUUGUGAAUAUCUUCAGCAAUUUUAUCAUUUAAGACAAUUUUUCGUAUAAUAUCGACAUGAACAUCGUAAGAAAACUCAAAUUAAGUAAGUUAAAUUAAAAAAAAAAUUGUAUGAAUGUUUCGAGAACCAUUAAUUAUAAAUUCAACAUUUUUGAAUGAAAAAUUGGAUUGGUUUGUGGUGACGGCUAACAUGCAUGUCUAACAAUUAUUUUCAAUUUCUAAUACUUUCAUCCAUUGCCAAAGUUGGAAACUAAUGUUCACAAUUUUUUUUUAUCUUAUUAAAUGAAAUUUCACAUUUCUUGAAAAUUAUGGAUUAUAAUUAUUUGAAAAACAAAAUAUAUUUUUUUUGCUUUAUCAUUACUGACAAUUUUAUCUCAGUUUUUGCAGUAAAAUUUGAUUUUUUUAGUCUAAGUUUUAAAAACAAAAUAUUUGUUUUAGUUAUAAAGAAAUUGUUUUGGGUUUUAAAUGAGCUUUAUCACAAAUAAUUCAAAUAUAUUUUAAAUGGGUUUUUCUUCACUAAAUCCUUUAUAGUUUUUCCCUCAUCUCCCCUUCUCUCUCACUCACGUUUCCCUCAAUCAAAUAUGAAUACUACGACUGGAGUUUUAUGAAAAAAGCCAAAGCCCCCCCUUAUUGGAUUUGAACCGAUGACUUACGCCUUACCAUGACGUUACUCUACCACUGAGUUAAAAAGGCCUAUUUGAUUCAAUUUCUGAGUAAGCCACUAGCCACGAUGAGUCUAGUGUAUAUAAUUCUUAUAAAUUAUAAAUAAUAAGAUACGUACAUAAAUAUAUCUUAUCCACAUAGUCGCUCAUUGAGGAACUGGAUUUAUCUAAUGAGUAUAGGUAAAAUGGUUUUUUAUAUUGGAUUUAUCAAUGCAAUGAAUUGUUUCAUCAUAAGACCGAUCCCUAAUUAAAUUGAUGAGCCCCAUCCUAACGAAAUGAAUUUGAUUCAUACAUGUACACACACGAAUUGAACAUAGAUACAUUCACCGAAUCAUUGAUAAAGCAAUUCUACUUGGCGAGGAAAAAAUUUUCAAUAACUUGUUGAUCCCUAUCCCCAGAUUUUUAAAUUUAUCGUUUUUGAAUUUCUUGGCUUAGUGUGAGAUCGAAAUAUACCUAACCUAAUCUUAACAAUGAGUGAAUCAAUGAGUGAAAGUAUGAGAAAUGGAGUUUAAUCCUGUUUAUAGCAUAUGACAGACCAAUCACUUCCCGAAGGGUACUAGCCUUCGUAUUAUUUAAAUAAAAAAAGAAUAUUUUUUUUGAAUAUUUAUUAUUUUUGUUUAUUUUAGACGUUUCUUCUAAUCACUACUAAUCACUAUUUUCAUUUGAUAUUCUAUAAUAAGUAAUAUAACUAUAUAUUCCAAUUUGCAAAUUUAUGUAUAUUAUUUAAAUUAAAUAAAUAAAAAAAGAAAAUAAAUAAAUAAAUAAAUAAUGCAAUUGAAUUUUAAAUAAAAGAAUUUCUUCCCCUACUUCUUCUCUAACGGCUCUUUCUCUCUACUUUCUCGUCCUCUCCCCUUCUCUUAUCUUCUUCGUCUUCCUCAAAAUCGCGAUUCACGGCCAUCUUCUUCUCCUAGCCCUAACAGCGCUGGAUUUCUCAACUGUCGAUCGAGUGACAAUCAUGCCUGCCUGCUUGACAAAGCCUUUUCGGUCUACCAAUAAAGGAAAAGCGAUUGCUGGUGACACGAAAGCUGUGCUCGACGCUCUUUUUCCUAUUCCACUGCGCGUCGUGGUCUUUCCCUUGCUCUUUGGAUGACUACUGUGGACGAAGAGCACAACUACUUCCAGUCUCUGGUCGAUAAGUACCCAAGGAAGGUAAAUUCCAGCGGAGAAAGUCGAGAGCUCCUUAGUUGAUCACAAAUCCUUCCAAAUUCUUUGUUCGUAGACUAAUUUGAAAUCCUUCCAAAUUCUUUGUUCGUAGACUAAUUUGAAAUCCUUCCAAAUUCUUUGUUCGUAGACUAAUUUGAAAUCCUUCCAAAUUCUUUGUUCGUAGACUAAUUUGAAAUCCUUCCAAAUUCUUUGUUCGUAGACUAAUUUGAAAUCCUUCCAAAUUCUUUGUUCGUAGACUAAUUUGAAAUCCUUCCAAUAUGGAUCCAUGCUGUCUUUUAUAUCCAUAAGAUACCAAUUAGAUUGUGUUAAUUAUUGUUUAUAAGAAAAUAUUUGUGUGCAGAGUUGCAGUGGGUAAAUCUUAAUGGCUGCCAGAAAAUUGGUUCGGGAUAUAUUACUCUCAACACAAAGUAUUUUUUAUCAGUUUACUUCCCAUCGGGUAUUUGCUCUUCCUAUGCUUUAUCCUUAUCCCAUCUUUCUCCGCUCUAGUCUUCAUAGGAUGGAUUUCUGUGGUGUAAAUUUAUUCAUCUACUUUGUUUGAUUUAUGGUUGCAUUUAGGGAGAAGGUAAAUUACAUAAGCCAAAGUAGUUAUGGAAAACAUCUCCAAUUUACAGCAAGUUAAAGAAAAAAAAAGAAGAGAAAAACAGCAGUUCAAAAAAACUGGGCAUCUUGCUUCUUUCUUAUUGAUGUAUGUAAUUUACAAAAGGUUUGGUGGAACACCUACAACAAUCUUUUUGAACUUUUUGGUAGGUUAUGAAUUACGAACUUGUAUUGAAUAUUUGUUAGGUCGUUUUAAUAAUUCAAGUGAUGCUUAGAAAAUGCAACCGAGCUUAAACAAUUCUGCACAUUUUUCUAAAAUUUUUAGUUUAACCUUUUUAAUAAAAUUCGAUGGAAAUUCUUGUUUUCUUUUUGUAGGAAUAAAGGAAAAUGAAAUAUAACCAAACUUGGGAUCUUUGCAAGCAAGCUUCCAUGAAGAAACUAGGUUACAAGGGGAGGUCUUCUGUUCUCCUUUUUCUUUUUUUUUUUCCAUCCGUAGAAUCUUGCUUAAAAUGCUUUGAGGACAAUGCAUAUUUUUAAGUGGGGGUGGGGUUGUAGCCUUGCACAUUCCAUGUCCUUUGGGAAAUUUUUAUUUUGCAAAUUUUGCUAAAAAUGUCAAAAUUUAGAAACUUUUGCAAUGCUCUAUGCUUAGAAUAAGUACCAUGUCUACUUCGCUUUUUAGCAUAAAAAAGCAUGUAUGCCUAACGCAUGAGAACGGAGCUCGGAUUUGUGAUUGUAUUUGUUCUUUGAAUAUGUUACAUAUGUUGAAAAUGCAUAUAUUGAUAGCUUAGAAAUGAGUAGAACACUUGGUUCAUUUUCUGAAUAUUGUGAAUUAUGUACAUAAUAAUAUGUGCGGUUCUCUUUUUUAUCUCAAUUUUAAUCCCCUUUUUUGCCAUAUUCUAAUGCCUUUUUUAUAUUAAUUUUAAAUCCCUCUUUUGGCCAUACACAUUUGUAUAAGAUUGUUUGAAAGCAAAAUAUGAUUGUUAGGUCAGGUAGAAAGCAAAGUCGGCAAGUUCUUAGAGUUCUUCACCCAACAUAACAGCCGAUAGAAACAAAACAAUACGACCAAGCUGCUAAGGGUUGCAAAACCCGACCCCCGCCUAGUGGGUCACUAGAGUUCCCCAGCAUGGCAGCCGGUAGAGAGGGAGCGAGAAAAAAAAGAGGGAGCCAAGCCAGCCGCUUAGGUCAAGUAAAAUGCGUGCCGAGAUCCCCCGGUUUCAGAGUUUUCGUGGGGAUCCUCUCCGCUUUUAUUGCCUAAGCAAAACCCGAUCCCGCCUAGUAGGUCCUUAGAUUUCUUCACCAAGCAUGGCAGCCGGUAGAGAGGGAGAGAGAAAAAAAAGAGGGAGCCAAGCUAGCCAGCCGCUUAGAUCAAGUAAAAUGCGCGCUGAGAUCCCCCGGUUUCAGAGUUUUCGUGGGGAUCCUCUCUGCUUUUCUUGCCUAAGCAAAACCCGACCCCCGCCUAGUAGGUACUUAGAGUUCUUCACCCAGCAUGGCAGCCUGUGAGAGGGAGCGAGAAAAAAAAAAAGGGAGCCAAGCCAGCCGCUUAGGUCAAGUAAAACGCGCGCCGAGAUCCCCCGGUUUCAGAGUUUUCGUGGGGAUCCUCUCCGCUUUUCUUGCCUAAGCAAAACCCGAUCCCGCCUAGUAGGUGCUUAGAGUUCUUCACCCAGCAUGGCAGCCGGUAGAGAGGGAGAGAGAAAAAAAAGAGGGAGCCAAGCCAGCCGCUUAGGUCAAGUAAAAUGCGCGCCGAGAUCCCCCGGUUUCAGAGUUUUCGUGGGAUUGAUCAUUCAAUUUCAGCAAACCCACUUGUUAUAGUCAAAAGCAUAUUUAAGUUGACAAUGGUUAGAAGAUAUAAUAUUACAUUUACCUCAUCACAUCUCUUUGUUCUUCCAACAACCAUUAAGAAAAAUCCCUGUAAACCGAACCCCAUGUAUUCCCUUUUCUCCUCACUCGCCAGAAUUUUGCCCACUCUCCAAACAAAAUCAUUUCAGCCUUAUUUUUGUUCACUGCCCAUUUCCAAAAAUUUCAUUUCCCUCUGAAAAUCUUUGUCGAUGGCCAAACCUGUGGCUGGGAACCGAAUGUUCUCGAUCAUGUCCAGUGCUGAACCUCCCGAUGGACUGCAAGGAUCAAGGGUUAAGGUUGGUUUUUCUAUUUUUGUUGGUUAGAGUUCGUGUUCUGUUUUUUUUUUACUUUGAGUUAAAUCCUUUGUAUUUGAAGAAAUUAAAGUUAUGGGAUGUGAUGCAUGUUGGCAGGGAGCUGAUUCCUUAAAAGUUGGUUAGUGUUCUUUUUCUGUUUUUUUUUUUUUUUACCUUGAGCUAGUUACAUUGUUUUUGAAGAAAUGAAAGUUAUGGGAUGUGAUGCAUGUUGGUUGGUAGGGAGCUGAAUCCUUUCUUAGGAACGUUUUGGGGAGCAUGGAGGCUGUUUAUUUGAGUUGGAAGCCUGCUGCAAAAUCUGUUUUGGAGUUUGUUCGAUCUGUCCAUGAUGAUACAAAUUUGUUAUGAUCAUACUGCAUUUUGAAGUUUUGGGGUAUUUUUCUUCCAUUUCUUUUCUUCUUCAAUUUCUGCUUAUCUUUUUAUUCUUUCUUCUGUAUAUUAUUUUCUAGUGGUCACUUGUUGUGCAAUGUCUUUCUUUUAAGUCAUUGGCUACUUUAUAAAGAGAAGAACAAAGUGAACUAUGCUAUCUUUCUACUCUUUCUACCCCAUUUCCGUAAAGAAGCAAGAAAACAACUAACAGGCAGAUCAAUCUGCUUAAACAUUCAAUUGGCCAUUUAGUCUUUUGGGUUUUAACAUUCUGCCAUUCUUGUCGUUGCUCUUAAAUCUCCUCACAAUCUCUUUGUUAAAUCCCUGUAAACCGAACCCCAUGUCUUCCCUUUUCUCCCCAUCGGCCACAAUUUUUCCCACUCCCCAAACAAAAUCGUUUCAACCUUAUUUUUCUUCACCACCCAUUUCCAAAAUUAUCAUUUCCCUCCGAAAUCCUUUGUCGAUGCCGAAACCUGCUGAUAGGAAUCCAUUGUUCUCGAUCUUGUCGAGUGCCGAACCUUCCAAUCCACUGCAAGGAUCAAGGAUCAAGGGUUAAGGUUUAUUUUUUAGUUAUUGUUCUGUUUUUUUCUGUUUUGAUUUCAUUGCAUUGUUUUUGAAUAAUUUAAAGUUAUGGGUUGUGAUGAUCCUUUCUUAGAAACGAUUUCCCAGUCCUGGAGGCUGCUUAUGUGAGUCAGAAUCACACUGUAAAAUCCAUUUUGGAGCUUGUUCGAUCUAUUGAUGGUGAUACUAAUUGGUUAUGAUCCUAUUGCACUUGCAACUUUUAGGGUAUUUUUCUUCCAUUUCUUUUCUACUUCCAAUUUCAAUUUCAAUUUCUGCCAAUUUUUUAGUUUUCAUAUGUAUAUUGUUUUCCAAUGGUCAUUUGUUGUGUGGUGUCUUUCUUGUAAGUCAUUGGUUACUUUGUAAAGAGAAACACAUUAUGCACUAUGUCAUCGUUCUACUCUUUCUGCAACAUUUCCAUAAAGAAGCAAGAAAACAGCUAGCAGGCAGAUCAAACUUCCUUAAACAUUCAAUUGGCCAUUUCGCCAUUUUGGAUUUAACAUUCUGCAUUUGUGUCGUUACCCUUAAAUCUCCUCACAUCUCUUUGUUCUUCCAAUAAUCGUUAAGAAAAAUUCCUGUAAACCGAACCCCAUGUCUUCCCUUUUCUCCUCAGUCGCCAGAAUUUUCCCCACUCCAAACAAAAUCAUUUCAGCCUUAUUUUUGUUCACUACCCAUUUCCAAAAAUUUCAUUUCCCUCUGAAAAUCUUUGUCGAUGGCCAAACCUGUGGCUGGGAACCGAAUGUUCUCGAUCAUGUCCAGUGCUGAACCUCUCGAUGGACUGCAAGGAUCAAGGGUUAAGGUUGGUUUUUCUUUUUGUUGGUUAGAGUUCGUGUUCUGUUUUUUUUUUUUUUUACUUUGAGUUAAAUCCUUUGUAUUUGAAGAAAUUAAAGUUAUGGGAUGUGAUGCAUGUUGGCAGGGAGCUGAUUCCUUAGAAGUUGGUUAGUGUUCUUGUUCUGUUUUUUUUUUUUACCUUGAGUUAGUUACAUUGUUUAUGAAGAAAUGAAAGUUAUGGGAUGUGAUGCAUGUUGGUUGGUAGGGAGCUGAAUCCUUUCUUAGGAACGUUUUGGGGAGCAUGGAGGCUGUUUAUUUGAGUCGGAAGCCUGCUGCAAAAUCUGUUUUGGAGUUUGUUCGAUCUGUCCAUGAUGAUACACAUUUGUUAUGAUCAUACUGCAUUUUGAAGUUUUGGGGUAUUUUUCUUCCAUUUCUUUUCUUCUUCCAAUUUCCGCUUAUCUUUUUAUUCUUUCUUCUGUUUAUUAUUUUCUAAUGGUCACUUGUUGUGCAAUAUCUUUCUUUUAAGUCAUUGGCUACUUGUUGUGAAAUGGUGUCACUUCUUAGGAACGUUUUGGGGAGCAUGGAGGCUGUUUAUUUGAGUCGGAAGCCCACUGCAAAAUCUGUUUUGGAGUUUGUUCGAUCUGUCCAUGAUGAUACAAAUUUGUUAUGAUCAUAUUGCAUUUUGAAGUUUUGGGUAUUUUUCUUCCAUUUCUUUUCUACUUCCAAUUUCUGCUUAUUUUUUAUUCUUUCGUAUGUAUAUUAUUUUUUAAUGGUCACUUGUUGUGCAAUGUCUUUCUUUUAAGUCGUUGGCUACUUUGUAAAGAGAAGAACAAAGUGAACUAUGUUAUCGUUCUACUCUUUCUACCCCAUUUCUGUAAAGAAGCAAGAAAACACCUAACAGGCAUAUCAAUCUGCUUAAACAUUCAAUUGGCCAUUUAGUCUUUUGGGAUUUAACAUUGUGCCAUUCUUGUCGUUGCCCUUAAAUCUCCUCACAAACUCUUUGUUCUUCCAACAAUCAUUGAGAAAGAUCCCUAGAAUCGGAGCCCCAUGUCUUUCCUUUUCUCCACGCCGGCCAGAAUUUUGCCCACUCUCGAAACAAAAUCUUUCCAACCUUAUUUUUCUUUACAACCCAUUUCCAAAAAAUUCAUUUCGCUUUUUGGAAAAUCAUCGUCUAUGCCGAAACCUGCAUCUUGGAACUGAUUGUUCUCGAUCAAGUCCAGUGCUGAACUCCCGAAUGGACUACAAGGAUCACGGGUGAAGGUUUAUUUCUUUCUUAUCGUUUGUUAGAGUUUUUGUUUCGUAUUGUACUGCCUUGACUUAAUUCCAUUAUUUUUGAAGAAUUUAAAGUUAUGGGUUUUGAUGAUCCUUUCUUAGGAACGUUUUGGCAAGACUGUACACUGCCUAUCUGAGUCGGAAUCCCACUGCAAUAUCCAUUUUGGAGCUUAUUCGAUCAUUUCAUGUUGAUACAAAUUUUUUAUGAUCAUAAUGCAUUUGGAAAUUUUGGGGUAUUGUUCUUCGUUCCAUUUUUUUUCUACUUCCAAUUUCAUUUUCAAUUUCUGCAUAUUUUUUAUUCUUUCUUAUGUAUAUUGUUUUCUAAUGCUCAUAUGUGGUGCAAUGUCUUUCUUUUAAGUCAUUGGUUUUUUGGUGAAUAGAAAAACAAAGGGAACUAUGUCAUCGUUCUACUGUUUCUACGACAUUUCCAUAAAGAAGCAAGCCAGAUCAAACAUUCAGCCAUUCUUUUGGUUGCCCUUAAAUCUCCUCACAACCUCUUUGUUCUUCCAACAAUCAUUAAGAAAAAUCCCUGUAAACCGAACCCCAUGUCUUUCCUUUUCUCCCCACUGGCCGGAGUUUUUCCCACUCUCCACACAAAAUCCUCUCAACCUUAUUUUUCUUCACUACCCAUUUCCAAAAUUUUCAUUUCCUUGGAAAUUCUUUGUCGAUACCGAAACCUGCAGCUGAGAAUCGAUUGUUGUCGAUCAUGUCCCCGGUGCUGAACCUCCCAAUGCACUGCAAGGAUCAACGGUUAAGGUUUAUUCUUUUGUUAUCGUUGGUUUGAGUUCUUGUUCUGUUUUUUUCUGCUUUGAUUUAAUUGCAUUGGUUUUGAAGAAUUUAACGUUAUGGGUUGUGAUGCAUGUUGAUAGCAAGCUGAAUCCUUUAUUAGGAAUGUUUUGGUGAGCAUGGAGUCAGUUUAUCCGAGUCGGAAUCCCACUGCAAAAUCUGUUUUGGGGCUUGUUCGAUCUGUUCAUCAUGAUACAAUUUGUUGAGAUCAUAUCGCUUUUAGAACUUUUGGGGUAUUUUUCUUCCUCCCAUUUCUUCUACUUCCAACUUCAUUUUUAUUUUAUGGAUUGAUCAUUCAAUUUCAACAAACCCACUGGUUAUGGUCAAAAGCAUAUUUAAGUUGAAGAUAUAAUAUUACAUUUACCUCGUAAGUUUUUGGAUGAAUUGGUGAUUUAACAUGGUCUAGAGUGGAUAGUUUAGGAGGCUGUUAGGCCACCAUUGUUGUUUACCUAUAAUAGAAGAAAGAAAAAUAAGGCACGUUAGGAACCAACAACAGUUACUUAAAAAAGAUGACAGUUAUCUAAAACUGGAAGUUAAAUGGAUGAGAGGGAGGUGGGAAAGGGCAGGCAGUUUUUAGUAAAAGGAAGGGCCUGCAAUACUCCAUGAGAGAUAGGGGAAGCAGAGGGCUCACGAUCUUGUUCUGGUUUUAAUUGUAGUAUUUUGAAUUGUGUUUAUUUGUGUUUUGGAUUAGGAGGGUUUCUUUGCUUGUUGUUUGUAAUUUCUCUGUAAUUUUCUUAUUAUUGUAACUUUGACUUUCAAAUAUCAAUAUAAUAGGAAACAGUAGAUCAGUGUUCUAACAAGGUUGUAUGUUCAAAAGUGAGUAGAUAGUUGAGGAGGUCCAAUGUUCAAAAGUGAGUAGAUGGUUUAGGAGGGUCCUAUGUUCAAAAGUUUGCUGGUGUGUAUCUUUGUUGGCUCGACAUGUUUUUAAUUUAUGAUUGUUGUUGGUGGAGAGAGCGGAAGAUGCCGGGGACAGUUUGGAGAAGAUCAAGCGGCAGCUGGCCUCUGGGUCUGGUCGGAAUUUGUUGCAGGGUCCCCUUCUAAAGCGAUCUGAAACAGUAAACUAACGCAUUGCAACUCUUUUUGUCUUUCCUUUUGUUUUGAAUUGAUGGUUACUGCUUAAUUGCGCUGCCUUUAGGUCUUCCAUUUAAAUCGUUCUGACUGUUUUAGUGAUAUUUGAAGACUUAAUUAAAUCACCUAGAAGUACUUAUUAAGAUUAGGACGUCGGGAUUUGUGAUUUCAAGGAGAAUAGAAAUGUGAGAAAUGCCCAUGUUCAUGAUCUAACUGUCAGCAUAUUUGUGUUUAUGAAUAUGGCCGUCGAUGUGAUAGUAUUCUCAGACUGUUUUGUAGUGCGCAUAUGCAGAAUUGUGGUCACAUUUGAUCAGCCUUCUAUUUUCUGCGUUUCUGUUCUUAGACAGCAUUUUUUAUGGCAAUGAGCCUUCAUUGUAGCAAAUCUGAUUUUCUCUAUUACAAUGUUUGCAGUUGAGGAAUUGGAAUGAGCGAUGGGUAGUUUUGGACCCAACAACAGGGAAAAUGGAGUAACCAUACGUCCCAUUUACACUGUUUUUGGUCCUUCCUUCCUUGGUUCAUCAAUGUAGUAAUAUGUUGGUGGAAACAGCUCAUUUCUAAUGCUGCUGCCGAUGGUGAUGGGGUCAAUGGACCUCUGCCAAGAGUGUUCAUAUCACAAAUUGUUGUGGAUUAGUUGAGUAAAUAAACUCAGGUGCGUUUCACCGAAUUCUCGAUAUGCAGAAAUCUGAAUAUAUUUUUUCCUUCUGAAAUUUGGCUACAAGCUGUAUCUUGGUGCUGCAGUAAGUGUAUUGUUAGCGAUGUAGUAGGCAUAAGGUGGGAAUAGGAUGCAUUUUGUGUUUUAUCCAUUUAAGUUUUUGGUUUAUGCAACAAAACCUUAGCUUGAAUUACAACUUCAUAUUAUUUUUCCUACUGCAUUCAGUACAUAAUCAGAAGAUACACUGAAUGUUCUUGCAUUGGGAAGAAGCAUGCUGCUUUGGCUGGUUCUCUGGGUUCCUUCACAUGGGAAAAGCCUUUGCAUUCAGAGUUUGAGCAAUUAGAGCAAGGCUUUUAAUCUCCCAUGACUCUGAAACUUAUGUUAUUUAGGUCACCAUAUUAUCGUGGAGAAUGAACCAAAUUUCAUUUCUGAAUUGUGAUUUCACCAAGAAUUUGAAAACAAAAAUGCAUAUGGUUUUCUUUCUGAUUCUUUUUUAUUGCGUAUUAUUUUUUAUUGGUCAUUUACCUCCCACAGAUGACAUGAAUAGCGCCAAACAACUACAAAGAGAACUGCCACACUCCUAUAAUUGCUGCUAACCUACCUAACUAAGAAUAUACGACAAUCUCGAAAAUGUGCCAAUGAGAGACAUCAUCAGAUCCAGAGAUCAAGUUUGCCAAGAACUACUCAUAGUAGAAUUUGCAAAUAUGUGGUGCAAACUGAGCCAAGAAUAGACAACUCCAACCUUUUUGGAAUAGACGUGGUUAUCAACCUUUUGACUCUCUUCUUCUUUUCUUUCCUGACUUGGAUUCACUGCCCUGAUCAUUGGAUGAAUUUAGUGACUUUCCCUUUGAGUUCUCCAUUGUUUUUCCAGAAGUUGAUGAAUGCUUCAUAUCUCCACUUUCUUUUUCUUUUGCUUUUGAAGAUGUGAACUUAACCUUGGUGGAGAGAUUGGUAUUAUUAGACUUAUCGCCUGUUUUGGUAGACUUGCCUUUUGAAACAGGAGUUUUUGGGGUUUCUUGUUUGGACUUCCCCGUCUUCGAUACAUCUUGCUUGUUGGACUUUGCAACAGCGGCAGGUGUGGAUGUCUCAUCGUCCUUAGAUUUGCUAGUCUUGUUGGAUUCGGCAUCAUCAUUCUUCGACUUGCCAGCGAUUUUGAUGAAAGUACUGAUCUCGAGGGAACUAGAUGCAUUUUAACCUAUUCGGCUUAACUCUCCUACUUUCUAUGGUCUAUUGUGGCUUCAACCGAGGGUGAAAAGUUCCCAACACAAGUUCUGAUCUGGAAGGAACCCGACGCAUUUUAACCUAUUUUGCUUAGCUCUCAUACUUUCUAUGGGCUAUUGUGGCUUCAGCUAAGAGGGAAGAGUUCCUGACACAAGUUAUGAUACCAAAGGAACUCGAUGCAUUCUAACCUAACCAGCUUAACUCUAUUACUUUCUACGAGCUAUUAUUGCUUUCACCAUGAGUGAAGAUUUCCCUAUGCAAGUUCUGAUAUCGAAAGAACCAAAUGCAUUCUGACCCAACUGGCUUAACUUUUCUACUUCCAACGAGCUAUUGUUGCUUCGGCCAAUAGUAAAGAGUUCCCUAUGAAAAUUCUGAUUUCAAAGGAACUCGAUGCAUUCUGACCUAACCGUCUUAAUUCUCUUACUUUCUACAGGCUAUUUUUGCUUCCACCAAGAGUUAAGAGUUCCCUACGAAAGUAUUGGUCCCGAUGGAACCCAAUGAAUUAUGAUUUAACCACUUUAACUCUCCUACUUUCUAUAGUAUUGCUUCGGCCAAGAGGGAAGAGUUCCCUAUGGAAAUUCUGAUAUUGAAGGAACCUGACACAUUUUGACCUAACCAGCUUAACUCUCCUACUUUCUACAAGUUAUUGUUGCUUCGGCCAAGAAAGCAUUCCCUACGCAAAUUUUGAUCCUGAAGGAACCCGACGCAUUCCGACCUAACCGGCUUAACUCUCAACCUUUUUAUGGGCUAUUGUUGCUUCGACAAGAGUUAAGAGUUCCCUAUGCAAGUUCUAAUAUCGAAGGAACCAAAUGCAUUUUGACCUAACUGGCUUAACUCUCCUACUUUCUACAGGCUAUUGUGGCUUUAGCCGAGAGUGAAGAGUUCCAUGAAAUUUCUGGUCAGGAAGGAACCCGAUGCAUUUUAACAUAUUCGGCUUAACUCUCCUACUUUCUAUGGGCUAUUGUGGCUUCAACUGAGAGUGAAGAGUUCCUGACACAAGUUCUGAUCCCAAAGGAACUCGAUGCAGUCUGACCUAUUCGAGUUAAUUCUCCUACUUCCUACGGGCUAUUGUUGCGUCGACCAUAAGUGAAGAUUUCCCUACGCAAGUUCUUAUAUUGAAAGAUCUAAACGCAUUCUCACCUAACUGGCUUAACUCUUUUACUUCCAACGGGUUAUUGAAGCUUCAACCAAGAGUGAAGAGUUCCCUACGAAAAUUUUGAUCCUGAAGGAAAUCGACGCAUUUCUGACCUAAUUGGCUUAACUAUCCGACUUUGUACAGGCUCUUUUUCCUUCAGCCAAGAGUUAAGGGUUCCUUACGCAAGUAUGGAUCCCGAAGGAACCCGACACAUUCUGAUCUUACCGCUUUAACUCUCCUACUUUCUAUAUGAAAUUAUUUCUUUGGCCAGGAGGGAAGAGUUCCCUACGAAAAUUUUGAUACGAAGUGAACCCGACGCAUUCCGACCUAACCAGCUUAACUCUCCUACUUUCUACGGGCUAUUGUUGCUUCAGCCAAAAGUGAAGAGUUCCCUAAGCAAAUUUUGAUUCCGAAGAAACCGAUGCAUACCGACCUAACCGGCUUAACUCCCCGACUUUCUAUGCGUUAUUGUUGCUUUGACUAAGAGUUAAGAGUUUCCUACGCAAGUUCUGAUUCUCGAGGAACCCGAUGCAUUCUAACAUAAAUGGCUUAACUCCCGUACUUUCUACGGGCUAUUGUGGCUUCGGCCGAGAGUGAAGAGUUGUCGAAGAAGUUAUGAUCCCAAAGAACCCGAUGCAUUUUAACCUAACCGGCUUAAUUCUCCUACUUUCUACGAGCUAUUGUGGCUUCAAUCGAGAGUGAAGAGUUCCCGACACAAGUUCUGAUCCCAAAGAAAGCCGACACAUUCUGACCUAACCAGCUUAACUCUCCAACUUUCUACAGGUUAUUGUUGCUUCGACCAUGAGUGAAGAUUUCCCUGUGCAAGUUCGGAUAUCUAAAGAACCAAACAUGCAUUCUGACCUAACUGGCUUAACUCUUCUACUUUCAACAGGCCAUUGUUGCUUCGACCAAGAGUGAAGAGUUCCCUACGAAAAUUUUGAACCCGAAGGAACUCGACACAUUCUAAACUAAUUGGCUUAAAUCUUCGACUUUCUACGGGCUAUUUUUGCUUCCACCAAGAGUUAAGAGUUCCCUACGCAAGUAUUGAUCCCGAAGGAACCCAUCGCAUUAUGAUCUAAUCGCUUCAACUCACCUUCUUUCUACAGGAAAUUGUUGCUUUCACCAAGAGUGAAGAGUUCCCUACGCAAAUACUAACACGGAAGGAACCCGACGCAUUUUGACCUGACCAACUUAUCUUUCCUACUUUCUACAAGUUAUUGUGGCUUCGAUCGAGAGUGAAGAGUUUCCUACGAAAGUUUGAUCCUGAAAGAACCCAAUGCAUUAUGACUUAAUAGGCUUACCUCUCCUACUUUCUACCAGCUAUUAUAGCUUCGACCGUGAGUGAAGAGUUCUGAUGCAAGUUUUGAUCCCAAACUAACCCGACGCAUUCUAACCUAACAAGCUUAACUCUCCUACUUUCUACGGGCUAUUGUAGCUUCAGGCAAGAGUGAAAAGUUCUCUACUUUCUAUGGGCUUUUUAUUAUAAGUGUAAAGAAAUAGGUGUAUGAAUUGGAUUGAUGAACAUAUUUUUGAAUUUUUUUUAAGCUUAAAAGGAUAUUUAUGGAACUUUCAAUAAUUCAUCAAUAUUUUUUAAACAGAACUUUUCAAUAGUUGAUGAUUAUUUUUUAAACAAAACUUUAGCGACUUUCAUCUAAAACCAAAGACAAUGGUAUUUUUGAACCGUUUUCGAAAGUUUAAGGGCAUCUUUCAACUUUUAAAAGGAUACUUUUUUGACACAAACCACUAGGGGUAUUCUAACACUGACAACACUAACAACCCAGACUACCCAUCCCAAAUUUCGAGUAUUAUUACAAAAUAUGUUUUUUAACUUAUGGAUAUGUUGAAUUUUGAUAUUAUGAAAUUUUAGUAAUUGAUAUGUGUGGUAAAAAAAUUUAAGUGUUUAAGUUAAUCAAGAAUACACUCCAUUUACAAGGAGUACAAGGAGUCCAAGUAGAUAUUAGUUGUGUUUGAAAAAUUAUGAAAAAAAUGUCCUAUUUUUAAAAAAAGUACAAUCAAGUGAAAUGUUACAUAAACUUCACAACAUAGUUAAUAAGAUAACACAAUAUUACAAGAUUUUGUUUACACGUAUACAUACAUAUACUAGUGGUUAAAGUAAGAUUAGAUUUGAAUGUAUAUUUAAACGAAAGUUAUGCCAUUCAACUAGAGUAAUAAAAUAACUAAAGAGCUCAAUAAAUUACAACAAAUGUGAUGGUACUUUGACACCAGAAGCAUACUAAAACAAUGGAUAAAAGGAAGCAUACUAAAACACAAGUAAAACAAGAGGAUUAUUUUUAUUGUCUUCCAUUAUCUGAGAGUGGAAUGCAAACAAAGCAAUGCAAAAGCACCAUUCAAGACAUCUGACUGAUUUAUACAAAGUGUAAAUAAGACACCAAUACAAUGCUGAACAUUCUCCUAAACAAGAUGCAACAUACACAUCAUUCAUUUGGCUAUUCAACGGGAAUAUGUCACGUUUUUUGCCAUAAUUAUUCUUGUUUCAUGUUUGCCCACGAUGGCAGGACAAGACUUUUAGGUAAAGCAAAUCCUGGUUUUCCAAUGUCAAAAGGCCUUGGCCGCUUGCAGGUAAUACUUAGUUUUCCAUUUUUAACCUUAAGGUUGCACUUUAUGUUUAAAUUGUCCAUCCGAACAUCUUUUUUUUUUCUUUUUCUUCUUUCCUUCGGGUAAUAAAGAAUAGUGACCUUGAAGAAUUAAGAGAAUUGGGGUCCGGCACCUUUGGCACUUUUUACCAUGGAAAAUGGAGGGGACUGAUGUUGCUAUAAAACGAAUCAAUGAGAGGUGUUUUGCUGGGAAACCUUCUAAACAAGAUCGCAAGGUUGUUCAUUUUAAGCAACUGGCUUUUCUUUUCUUUUGUUAUUCGUGCAUUUUUCUUUUUGUUCCUUGACUCAAGUCCUUUUUGUUGUUUUAUAUUAUACCAGUGAGAAGAUUUUUAGAAUGAAGCAAUUAAGUUUGCUGAUUUGCACCACCCAAAUGUGGUACUUUUUAUGGUGUCGUGCUUGAUGGGCCUGGGAGAUCUGUGGCCACAGUAACAGAAUAUAUGGCCAAUGGUUCGCUCAAAAAUGCUUUGUUGAAGAAUGAAAAGUAACAAUUGUUCUCAUUUUUCAUACGUUUAAUUUAAUUUGUUAGAAGUUAGUUGCAGUAUAAUGUAUCUUCACCCUUAGAUUAAGCAUAAAUACAAUUGAUGCAGGAGUCUUGAAAAGUGGAAGCGCCUCUUGAUUGCUAUGGAUGCGGCUUUUAGAAUGGAACACCUGCACAGAAAGAAUAUUGUGCACUUUGAUUUUGAAAGUGAUAAUCUACUGGUCAAUCUUCGAGAUCCUCAUCACUCAAUAUGCAAGGUUUGUGUAUUACUGAUAAUAGCAGAAUCAUCAUUGUAAUGCAUUCCAUUUAGUUAAACUCUUGAUUUGAUUUUUAAACAAAACAGGAUGAUAACCAAUUUUUAUAGUUAUUGUUGUAAUUAACACAAUUAAUUGUCAAAUAAAAAAUGUAUUUGACUAUUAACAUUUUUUUGUUUGACUAAUUAUAGUAUGUUUUAAGAAGAAAAUAAGCUUGGCUUGUCUUAGAUAUACGGGAUAAAGUAAUGUUUUUAACUAACAAAUGCCUUAAACCAGCAAUGGUCUCAAUCUCCUCCCAAGACCUCUCAAAACCCUUACUCUCUAAUCAAAUGUUCCAUUAAAAAAAAUAUAGUGAGAUAUUUCACAACCUUGAUCGCAUAAGACAACAAUCUCUAUUUCAAACCAAACUAACUCUAAAGGGCUCGACAAAAGUUGAAAAUCAAGGUAGCAAACUGCGAUCUCUAAAGGAUACGAUGUGAUCUAAAGGAAUGCUCCUGUGCUAUAAAUGCAUGGGUGCAGUCCAAACACAAAGGAAGAUUGUCCCUAUAUAUAAUAACUUUUUAUAGGAAGUAUUUUUGAAGUGUUAACUCAUCUAUUUCCAACGGGCUAUUCCUACUUCGACCAAGAGUGAAGAGUUCCUUACGAAAAUUCUGAUUCCGAAGGAACUCAACGCAUUUUGACCUAACCGACUUAACUUUUUGAGUUUCUACAUGUUAUUUUUGCUUCCUCCAAGAGUUAAGAGUUUCCUACGCAAGUAUUGAUUCUGAAGGAACCCGACGCAUUCUUAUCUAACUGGUUUAACUCUUCUACUUUCUAUUGGAAAUUGUUGCUUCAACCAAGAGGGAAGAGUUUCCUACGCAAAUUCUGAUACCGAAGGAACCCGAUGCAUUCUGAUCUAACCAGCUUUACUCUUCUACUUUCUACAUGCUAUUGUUGCUUCAGCCAAGAGUGAAGAUUUCCCUACGCAACUUUUGAUCCUGAACGAACCCGACGCAUUCGGAGGUAGUAGGGAGCUGAUUCCUAAGAAGUUGGUUAGUGUUCUUGUUCUGAUUUUUUUACCUUCAGUUAACUACGUUGUUUCUGAAGAAAUUAAAGUUAUGGGAUGUGAUGCAUGUUGGUAGGGAGCUGAAUCCUUUCUUAGGAACGUUUUGGUGAGCAUGGAGGCUGUUUAUUUGAGUCGGAAGCCCACUGCAAAAUCUGUUUUGGAGUUUGGUCGAUCUGUUCAUGAUGAUACAAAUUUGUUAUGAUCAUAUUGCAUUUUGAAGUUUUGGGGUAUUUUUCUUCCAUUUCUUUUCUACUUCCAAUUUCAUUUUCAAUUUCUUCUUAUUUUUUAUUCUUUCUUAUGUAUAUUAUUUUCUAAUGGUCACAAGUUGUGCAAUGUCUUUCUUUUAAGUCAUUGGCUACUUUGUAAAGAGAAAAACAAAGUUAACUAUAUCAUCAUUCUACUCUUUCUACCCCAUUUCCAUAAAGAAGCAAGAAACCAGCUAACAGGCAGAUCGAACUGGCUUAAAGACUCAAUUGGCCAUUUAGUCUUUCGAGAUUUAACAUUCUGUCAUUGUUGUCGUUGCCCUUAAAUCUCCUCACAAUCUCUUUGUUCUUCCAACAAUCAUUAAGAAAAAUCUGUGUAAACUGAACCCCAUGUCUUCCCUUCUCUUCCCACCGGCGAGAAUUUUUCCCACUCUCCACUGCAAAACCCAUUUUGGAGCUUAUUCGAUCAGUUCAUGUUGAUACAAAUUUUUCCGAAUCGUAAUGCAUUUGUAACUUUUGGAGUAUUUUUCUUCCUUCAGUUUGUUUUCUACUUUCACUUUCAUUUUCAAUUUCUGCGUAUUUUUAUUCUUUUUUAUGUAUAUUGCUUUCUAAUGGUCAUUUGUGGUGCAAAUUCUUUCCUUUAAAUCAUUGGUUAUUUUGUAAAUAGAAAAACAAAGUGAACCAUGUCAUCGUUCUACUCUUUCUAUAACAUUUCCAUAAGGUUUAUUUUGCAGUUAUCGUUGGUUAGAGUUGUUCUGUUUUUUUCUGCUCUGAUUUCAUUGCAUUGUUUUGAAGAAUUUAAAGUUAUGGGUUGUGAUGAUCCUUUCUUAGAAACGGUUUGGCAUUCCUAGAGACUGCUUAUGUGAGUUGGAAUCGCACUGUAAAAUCCAUUUUGGAGCUUGUUCGAUCUUUUCAUGGUGAUACAAAUUGGUUAUGAUCAUAUUGCACUUGGAACUUUGGGGGUAUUUUUCUUCCUUCCAUUUUUUUUUCUACUUCCAAUUUCAUUUUCAAUUUCUGCAUAUUUUUUAUACUUUCUAUUGUAUAUUGUUUUCUAAUGGUCAUUUGUGGUGCAAUGUCUUUGAUUUAAGUCAAUGGUUAUUUUGUACGUAGAGAAACAAAGUGAACUAUGUCAUCGUUCUACUCUUUCUACAACAUUUCCAUAAAGUAGCAAGAAAACAGCUAAAGAUCAAACUGCCUAAAACAUUCGAUUGACCAUUUAGUCUUUUGGAUUUAACAUUCUGCCAUUCUUGUGGUUACCCUUAAAUCUCCUCACAAACCUCUUUGUUCUUCCAGCAAUUAUUAAGAAAAAUCCCUGUAAACCGAACCCCAUGUCUUCCCUUUUCUCCCCACCGGCCAAAAUUUUUCCUUCCAUUAUUUGUUAUGAUCAUAUUGCUUUUAGAACUUUUGGGGUAUUUUUCUUCCUUCCAUUUUUUCUACUUUCAACUUCAUUUUUAUUUUAUGGAUUCAUCAUUCGAUUUCAGCAAACCCACUGCUUAUGGUCAAAAGCAAAUUUAAGUUGACAAUGGUUAGAAGAUAUAAUAUUACAUUUACCUCAUAAGUUUUUGGAUGAAUUGGUGAUUUAACAUGGUCUAGAGUGAAUAGUUUAGGAGGUCUGUUAGGCCACCAUUGUUAUUUACUUAUAAUAGAAGAAAGAAAAAUAAGGCACUUUAGGAACCAACAAUAGUUACUUAAAAAAGAUGACAGUUAUCUAAAACAGGAAGUUAAAUGAACGAGAGGGAGAUGGGAAAGGGCAGGCAGUUUUUAGUAAAAGGAAGGGCUGCAAUACUCCAUGAGAGAUAGGGGAAGCAGAAGGCUCAUGAUCCUUUUCUGGUUUUAAUUGUAGUAUUUUUAAUUUGUUUAUUUGUGUUUUGGAGUAGGAGGGUUUCUUUGUUUUGUUGUUUGUAAUUUCUAUGUAAUUUUCUUUUUAUUGUAACAUUUGAGUUUCAAAUAUCAAUAUAAUAAACACCACAUCUGUGUUCUAUCAAGUUGUAUGUUCAAAAGUGAGUAGAUAGUUGAGGAGGUCCUUAUGUUCAAAAGUGAAGUGAAUUCUAGGUGAUACAAUAUAAAAUUUAUUCUUAACCCAUCAGCUUAAGCUUUUGGGUGAUUAAAUGGUUUAACAAAAUAUGAUUCCAAAGUAGAAAUCAAGUGGAGAGGACACAAAGGCUAGUAUUAGGUAAGGUGAAGAAAGGUUUCUUAUAUCAAUUUCUAAUGCUGGCUGUUAGAACAUAAUUUAUGUUGAAGUUUGUAAUAGUACUCUACUUCAUUUGUACAAUCUCUUACUUCAUUUGUACAAUGCCUUCUACUUCUAUUGUACAAUGUACUCUACUUCAUUUGUACAAUGCCUUCUUUACUUUAUUGCUACAAUGGAUACAAUUAGUUGAGUCAACAUUGUUAAAUCAAAAAAGUUGCUUGAUGUUUGUUGAGUCAACAAUCAAUUCUUUACUGUAACUAAUGUUGAAGUUGUGUUUGUAUUCUGUGAUGAACUAGAUGGAUGGCGUGGGAUUGACUCAUUAGCAAGAUUUUACCUGUAUUUUGGAUAUACUCAAAAAGAAGAAUUAUCAUUCCCAACCAAAAAGUUGAAAGCAUUUUGGUUUUCACCUCCCUCCAUUUCUAAUGCUGCUGAUGAUGGUGAUGGAGUCAAGGUUGAGUCAACCACAGUUUGAACCAUGCACAAUGCUCUCUCUUUCUAGACUUUUAAUGCACGGUCAUUCUGUUUUCCGGCACUGGUUGUAAAGCAGUUCUCACUUUCACGCCACCUCCAACAACUUUUGUGUUGAUGUUAUUAUUUUCCAUCUUCUUAUGAUUAAGUUGGAGUUUUUCCUUGAACAACUUCCUCAGCUGCCUUAGGCUAGUAUUAUCAUUCUUCACCACUAACUGAAUGAACUUUUCUUUGUUCUGUUCUUUUUCAGCUUCUUCUUCCUCAGCAUCUGGGUUGUCCAUUAGCAAACUAAUGGUUUGUUCUUCAACGGGAGAUUUGGCUUCUAUUGUUGGCCUAGGGAAUUGGUUGCCAAUGAUUGAAUUGCAUUGUUGUUGGAGGAUGUGAUAGUGAUUUCCACCAAAGCUUCCUCACAUUGAACAAUGGCAUUUGGGAUUUCUGGUUGUGAGUCGAUAGCUUCGACAAUUAUGUCUUUAGGAAGAGUUUCUUCUUCCAUUUUCCAUUGGAUCUUGACAUCAACCAAAUCAUCAGAAACAUUCUCGGGGAACUCCUCCGUGGACUUAUUGAUAAUUGUAUCAUCUUCUUCAGCUUGAACGAAACUUUUCUCAUUUUUGUUUCCUUCUUGUCUCCUUCAAUGUCAGCAUCUGAUGCUACAUUUCCGGUUGUGGGAUCUGAUCAUUUUCAUCUUGAUCGUCUUUCACUUCCAAAGAUUCUUCAUCACUGCUCAAGGCAUCAUCUCUAUCAACUUCAGUUUCUUCUUCCACAUUUUCGUGGGAAGAGACAGUUCUUCAGCAGAGUUAUUCACGUGUGUUUUCUUCUUCAACAUCUUCUUCAAUUUUAUGUUCCAAUUCACAGGUAGACUCAUUUUGUUGAGAUUCAAAUUCCAUACCAAAUUCUUCUGCAAUGCUCGAUUUGUGAACUUCAGUAACAUCCAAGUCUUCAGUAGGCAGAGAAGAUUUGUCAGAUUCAUUGAUUUCCUCAGCAGAAAUCUCCACAAAAUCAUCAUCUUUCGAAACUUCAUUUACUUUUUCAUCUUCAGAGAAGCAUUGCACAUCCGAGUUAGCAUGAGGUGCCUCUGUUUUAGAAUCAUCAACGCUCUUUGCACUAAUUACAUUUUCAUCAAAAGAUUUUAACAGAUCAUCAAGAACCAUUUCUGGUUCCUUCUCUGAGAGUGCAGUAAGUGUAUUGUUAGCAAUGUAGUAGGCAUAAGGUAGGAACAUGAUGCAUUUUGUGUUUUAUCCAUCUAAGUUUUUGGUUUAUGCAACAAAACCUUAGCUUGAAUUACAACUUCAUAUCAUUUUUCCUACUGCAUUCAGGACAUAAUCAGAAGAUACACUGAAUGUUCUUGCAUUGGGAAGAAGCAUGCUGCUUUGGCUGGUUCUUUGGGUUCCUUCACAUGGGAAAAGCCUUCACAUUCAGAGUUUGAGCAAUUAGCAAGGCUAUUAUUCUCCCAUGACUCUGAAACUUAUGUUAUUUAGUUCACCAUAUUAUCGUCGAUAAUGAACAUAAUUUCAUUUCUGAAUUGCGAUUUGACCAAGAAUUUGAAAACAAAAAUGCAUAUUGUUUUCUUUUUUAUUCUUUUCUAUUGCGUAUCAUUUUCUAUUGGUCAUUUGUUGUGCAAUGUCUUCUUCUUAAGUCAUUGGUUACUUUGUAAAGAGAAAAACAAAGUGAUUUAUUUCAUCGUUCUACUCUUUCUACAACAUUUCCGUACAAAAACAAGAACACUGCUAACAGGUAGAUCAAACUUCGCUAAAAUUCGUUUCCCUUCUUGGAAGAUAUUCGUCCAUGCCUAAACUUGCAGCUGGAAACUGAUUGUUCUCGAUCAUGUCCAGUGCUGAACCCCAAAUGGAUUGGAAGGAUCAAGGGUGAAGGUUUAUUUUCUUCUUAUCGUUGGUUAGAGUUUUUCUUUCGUUUUCUUCUGCUUUGAGUCAAUUCCAUUGUUUUUUAAGAAUUUAAAGUUAUGGGUGUGAUGAUCCUUUGUUAGGAACGUUUUGGCAAGACUGGAGACUGCUUAUCUGAGUCGGAAUCCCACUGCAAAAUCAUUUUGGAGCUUAUUCGAUCAGUUCAUGUUGAUACAAAUUUCUCUUGAUCGUAAUGCAUUUGGAACUUUUGGAGUAUUUUUCUUCCUUCCAUUUAUUUUCAACUUUCAAUUUCAUUUUCAAUUUCUGCGUAUUUUUUAUUCUUUCUUAUGUAUAUUGUUUUCUAAUGGUCAUUUGUGGUGCAAAUUCUUUCCUUUUAAGUCAAUGGUUAUUUUGUAAAUAGAAAAACAAAGUGAACCAUGUCAUCGUUCUACUCUUUCUACAACAUUUCCAUAAAGAAGCAAGAAAACAAUAGUCUUUUGUGAUUUAACAUUUUGCCAUUCGUGGCGAUACCCUUAAAUCUCCUCACAAUCUCUUUGUUCUUCCAACAAUCAUUAAGAAAAAUCCCUCGAAUCUGAACCCCAUGUCUUUUCUUUUCUCCUCACCAGCUAGAAUUUUGCCCACUCUCCAAACAAAAUCUUUUCAACCUUAUUUUUCUUUACUACCCAUUUCCAAAAAUUUGAUUUCCCUCCUCGAAAAAUCUUCGUCCAUGCAGAAACCUGCGGCUGGGAGCUGAUUGUUCUCGAUCAAGUCCAGUGCUGAACCCCCAAAUGGAUUGCAAGGAUCAAAGGUUAAGGUUUAUUUUUUUGUUAUCGUUGGUUAGAGUUUUUGUCUUUUUUUUUCUGCUUUGAGUUAAUUCCAUUGUUUUUGAAGAAUUUAAAGUUGUGGGUUGUGCUGAUUCUUUCUUAGGAACGUUUUGGAAAACCUGGAGACUGCAAAUCUGAGACGGAAUUCUACUCAAAAUCCGUUUUGGAGCUUGUUCUAUCUGUUCAUGGUGAAUCAAGUCUGUUUUAUUCUGCUUGCAUUUCAUUUUGAAUUUUUGCAUAUUUUUUGUUCUUUUCGAUGUAUAUUGUUUUCUAAUGGGCAUUUAGUGUGCAAUGUCUUUCUUUUAAGUCAUUGGUUACUUUGUAAAGAGGAAAAAAAGUGAACUAUGUCCUCGUUCUACUCUUUCUACAACAGUUCCAUAAAGAAGCAAGAAAACUGCUAAAACAGGCUGAUCAAACUUCCCUAAACAUUCAAUUGGUCAUUUAGUCUUUUGGGAUUUAACAUUUUUCCAUUCUUUUUGUUUCCCUUAAAUCUCUUCAUAAUCUUUUUGUUCUUCCAACAAUCAUUAAGAAAAAUCCCCGUAAGUCGAACCCCAUGUGUUCCCUUUUCUCCUCACCGGCCAGAAUUUUGCCCCUACAAUCAAAAUCAUUUCAACCUUAUUUUUCUUCACUACCCACUUCCAAAAAUUUCAUUUCCCUAUGAAAAUAUUUUCCGAUGCCGAAACUUGCGGUUGGGAACCGAUUAUUCUCUAUCAUGUCCAAUGUUGAACCUCCCAAUGGAUGGCAAGGAUCAAGAGUUAAGGUUGAUCUUUUUGUGAUUGUUGGUUAGAGUUCUUGUUCUGUUUUUCUGUCUUGAUUUAAUUUCGUUGUUUUUGAAGAAUUUAAAGUUAUGGGUUGUGAUGAUCGUUCGUGCGUGUGCGAACAUGUUGAUAUUUUUUUAGUGAUGAGAUUCUUCCAAUUUUAAAAUAAUAAUUUCGUUAUCUUGAUGUUUAAGCCAUUAAUGUUAUUUUGAGAUAAAAAUAGCGAACAAGUUGAUAUUUUUUAAUUUUGAAUUCAAUUAAGGUUAUUUUGAUACAAAAUCUAUGUUGAGAUUCUCAAAUUCUGAAAAAUAAUAAUUUUGUUAUUUUGAAAUUCAAAUUCAAUUGGGUUAUUUUGAAAUUAGUAAGAUUGAAUAAAGUUAUUAAAAUAUUGAAUCAAUUAGUUGAGUCCCAAGAUAUUAAAAAAAAGUUGCAAUAUGGAUUGAUGUAUAUUUUUCAAGUAAAAAUUAAUUAAAAGCUGAUAAAUGACAUAAAUUAAUUACAACGUAGAAACUAAAUAAUUACAGUUGGAGAAGGUGGAUAUUUUGUAAAAUACCAUGCACGUGCAAAAAAUGUUAUUUGCUAAAAUUCAAAAGAAAAAAUAGUUUUUCCAUUUUUAAAAUAACCCAUAGAAAAGUUGUUAUAUCUCUUAUAACAAAGAGUGUGGAUCUACAGGUCCAUAUUCGACUUAUUUUUUGUUGGUAAAAUUGCAUAAAACCGCAUUAUAUUGAAAUAAUGACACUCUUAAACCAAUAUUGAUAGAAAUUAUAAUUUAAUUAAUGUUUUUAAAUCAAAUGAACAUGAUUUUUACUCCUAAACAUAAUUAUUGUAAUUGUUUUUUAAUCUUAAUUCAUUUACACAUCUUUGUGCAUAUGUGUGCGUGUGCGUGCGCGUGUGCAUGUGUAUGCGCGUGUCCGUGUGUGCGCAUGUGCACGUGUGUGUGUGUCUAUGUGUGCGUGCGUGCGUGUGUAUGUGUGUGCUCGUGUGCUUGUAUACGAACAAGUUGAUAUUUCUUAAUAGUUGAUAUUCAAGUCAUUAAUAUUAUUUUGAGAUAAAGAUAUCGAACAAGUUGAUAUUUUUUAAUUUUGAAAUUCAAUUAAGGUUAUUUUGAUACAAAAUCUAUCGUUGAGAUUCUCAAAUACUAUUAAAUUAUAAUUUUGUUAUUUUGAAAUUCAAAUUCAAUUUGGUUAUUUUGAAGUUAGUAAGAUUGAAUAAAAUUAUUAAAAUGUUAAUUCUCAAAUUAUAUAAAUUUGGUUACACUAGAAGAAAUUUUCCAUUCAAUAUCGGUUUAAAAUCGACAUUAAUGAUCUUUGGUGUCAGUUCGGAACGACAUUAAUGAUCUUUGGUGUCAGUUCGGAACUGACAUCUAUGCUACCGUUAUUAAAGGCCUUUAAUGUCGUUUUUGCUUUGAUGUCGGUUUAAAAACGAUAUCAAAUGCAUCAGUAAUGUCGGUAUGGUCAUUGAUGUUGGUUUAAAACCGACAUUUUUUAUGGUGCUAUUGUUGACCUUUAGUGUCGGUUUGCCUUUGAUAUCGUUUUUAAACCGACAUUAAAGUCUUGUUUUUGGAUCUAUUUUUACAAAAAAAAAAUAUAAUUAUUGCAUUAUUGUUCAUUUUUUAUAAACUGACAUUAGAUACGUGUAAAUAAAUAUUUUUUUCUCACACCAACAAAUCAAUAAAAUUAAUAUUAUUUUAGGAACUACAAUAUUUUUCUUUUACAUUUGUAUAUAGAAAAUGAAAUCUUAAUAUUGCGUUUGUAUAUACAUUCUAUUAUAAUACAUGAAACUAGAUCCUAAUACAAGACUUAAAUAAGAAAUCUUAAACGCUUUCACAAUCUUCAACUUCAACAAUUGCUUCCAUCUACUUAGCUUAGCUUGGCUGGCUAUCUAAGACCAAAAUAUACUUUACAACCUGGGGAAGAUUAAAUCUAGAAUUUGCAAAAUUAGUACAUAUUAUUUAAAAUCAAACUAAACAUACUGCAAUCUAAAUGUGGAAAAUUAAAAAUUACCACAAAGUUUCAGUAGAGUAAAUAAUGUAGCAGCAACAAAGAAGACAAUUGAAAUGGCAACCCAAAAGUGCUGCAAAAAUAAAGAAGAAAAUAAGCUUUGAUCAAACAACUCAUUAAGAAGAAGAAAAUAACCUAAUUUGGUUCUUCAAAGAUCUAUAAGAAAAAGAGGAAUACAACUAAAGAAUAAUUAUACCAUCCUCGACUCUUACUUCAAAGCAAAUUUUGAAUGUUCAAUUUAGCAAUGCUAGUCUAUAGGCUUCUUACUCUUAAUUGUAUAAAUUUACCCAUCAAUAGCAACAUUGUUUUUAUAGAGAAAGUUAAACAAUGGAGAUGAUAAAUAAUCUUACAAACUCCUAUUGGAUCGUUUUUCUUUUCAAAUGAAAAUAGUUAAUUUAUUUCAUUUAUGGAAGGUGAAAAUCUCAAAUAUAUAGUAAAAGAACAUGGAAUAUAAGGAAGCCCAUAAAAAGAAGAGACUCCACUAGCUAGGUAUUGAUCAAAGAUAAAUAUAUGGAUAAAUAGAUGCAACCUACAAAUAUAUCAAAACAGACUAAUACUCAAACUAAACUAAAGAAAACAAAAACAUUUACUACUAAAAGAUAAAAUAAAACACAAUUCAAAACAAUUAAUUACCAAGAUUGAUCUCAAUCGAAAACCAAAACGCAUCACAUUAUGAAGAUAUUGUGCUUCACAUAACACUCCAAAUAGCUAUACCAAAAUUACUUACUCUACAUUUUCCAUUUUGGCAAAUCCACCUACAAGAAUGCUAGUUACCAAGCUCAUUUCUAUGCCUUCUCUUCUUUCAUUUUUCUAACAAAAGAUAGUAUGAAUAAGGCUGCACAUUUGAAAAAAUAAAGACAAUUAAUAAUCAAUAAUGCUACCUAGCAGUCACAAGUUAACAAUCAAAUGAAGAAACCCAAGGAUUUUUGCGGCGGAAGCACGAUGAAGAUUGGUCGCCGUUCGCGAUCUAGGGUCACAGAUUGAGAAGAGAAAAAAUUAGAAACCAACUUGGAGAGAAAGAAAAGAAAAAUUGAUAGGGAAAGAGUAGAGUAAGAAAGAGAGGAAAAAUUUAGUUUUUAAAACCUAACAAUUUUUUAAAAAGAAAUUAAAAAUGGGGGGUCAUUAAUGUUAGUUUUUACAAAAUACAAAAAAUUAAAAAAAAAAUAAAACUGGCUGAUCAUUAAUGUCGAUUUAAAAACGACAUUAAACCCUUAUCAUUAAUGUCGGUUUGAUCCACCUUUUCAAAAACGACAAUAAAGAUAAUUUUUCAUUUUUUUCACCUGACACUACAACCCAGAUUUGUUGUAGUGUUAUUAUGGGUUGAUGUAUCUUUUUCAGAUAAAAAAUGCUAUUUGCUAAAAUUCAAAAGAAAAAGUUGUUUUGUCAUUUUUUAAAAUGACCCAUAAAAACAUUAUUAUAUCUCUUAUGACAAAGAGUGUGGAUUUACUAGUCCAUAUUUGACUUGUUUUUUGUUGGUAAAAUUGGAUAAGAUCGCAUUAUAUUGAUAUAAUUACACUAAUGACACUCUUAAAUCAAUAUUAAUAGAAAUUAUAAUUUAAUUAAUGUUAUUAAGUUAAAUGAAUAUAGUUUAAAAGUCAUUCUAAACACAAUUAAUGUAAUUGUUUUUUAAAUUUAAUUCAUUUUCACAUCUUUGUGCAUAUGUACGUGUGUGCGUGUGUGUGUGCACAUGUGCGAGUGCGCGUUUGCCCGUGCGGAUUGAUGUGCGUGUGCGUAUGUGUGUGUGCGUGUGUGCAUGUGUGCAUGUGUGUGUAGAUGUGUGUAUGCAUGUGUGAAUGUGUGCGUGCGUUCAUGCGUGUGUUCGUGUGUGUGCAUGCACAUGUGCUUGUGUGUGUGGGUGUGUGCAUAUGCUUGUGUGUGCAUGUCACAGUGUGCGUGUGCCCAUGUGGGUGUGUGUGUGUGUGCGUGUCUGUGACUGCACAUGUGCCCGUGUGGGUGGAUGUGCGCGUGCGCGUGCGUGCAUGUGUGUGUGGAUGUGUGCAAAUGUGCAUGUGUCCGUGUGGGUGGGUGUGCGCGUGCGUGCAUGUGUGUGUGGAUGUGUGCAAAUGUGCAUAUGUCCGUGUGGGUGGGUGUGCGUGUGUGUGUGUGUGCACGUGCGUUCAUGUGUGUGUUCGUGUGCGUGCAUGCGCAUGUGCCUGUGUAGGUGGGUGUGGGUGUGUGUGAGUGCGCAUGUGCCCGUAUGGGUGGACGUGCGUUCAUGCGUGUGUUCAUGUGUGUGCAUGCGCAUGUGCGCAUGUAUGUGGGUGUGUACGUAUGCGUGUGCGCGUGUGUGUGCUUGUGUGUGUGUGUGAAAGUGUGCGUGUGUCUGUGUGGGUGUGUGUGUGCUCGUGUGUGUGAGUGCGUAUGUGUCCGUGUGGGUGAGUGUGCAUGUACGCAUGCGUGCAUGUGUGUGGGUGUGUGUGUGUGCAUGUGUGCAAGUGCGCAUAUGUUUGUGUGGGUGGGUGUGUGUAUGUUCGUACAUGUGUGUGUGUGCGCGUGCGUGUCUGGAUGUGUGCUUGCGUUCAUGCGUGUGUUCGUGUGCGUGCAUGUGUGUGUGUGCAUGUGUGCAAGUGCGCAUAUGUUUGUGUGGGUGGGUGUGUGUAUGUUCGUACAUGUGUGUGUGUGCGCGUGCGUGUCUGGAUGUGUGCGUGCGUUCAUGCGUGUGUUCGUGUGCGUGCAUGCGCAUGGGCGUGCAUGUGUGUGGGUGUAUGCAUGUGCGUGUGCGAGUGCACGUGUGCCAAUGUGGGUGGGUGUACGUGUGCUUGUGUGUGUAUGAGUGCACAUACGCCUGUGUGGGUGUGCGUGCGUGCAUGUGUGUCGAUGCGUGUGUGCCCAUGUGGGUGGGUGUGCGUGUGCGAGUGCAUGUGUGUGCACGUGUGUGCGCGUGCGUAUGUGUUUGUGUGUGUGCAUGCGUAUUUGUGCGUGUACGUGUGCUUGUACGCGCAUGUGUUUGUGUAUGCGUGUGCAUGUGUGCGUGUGUGCAUAUGUGUGUGCACACUGCCUUCACAUGGAUGUCAAAGAAGCAACCCAUUGUUACUCUCUCUACGUGUGAAGCAUAAUAUGUGGUUGCUACCUCAUGUAACUUGGUUGAGAAAUCUAUUAAAGGAGUUAUGAUAUUGCCAAAAGAAGAGCCAACCAGAAGUUUUCAUAGAUAACAAAUCAACAAUUGCUUUGGCCAAAAACUAGUUUUCCACAACCAGAAUAAAGCACAUUGAUACACAUUAUUAUUAUAUUAGAGAGUGCAUCAGAAGAAAGGAAGUAUAGUUAGAGUGCGUGAAGACUCGUGAUCCAGUAGCCAACAUUUUCACUAAGCCUCUUAAAAAAGAAGAAUUCACAAAAUUGAGAGACAUGCUUGGAGUAACAAAAUCAAGUUUAAGAGAGGAUGUUGAAAUAUAAACUUGAUUUUGGGUUUAACAAUAUUUAGGCAUAGCCCAAAUAAAAGCCAAAUUUCUAUAAAGUAUUAAUUACUAUAAUAUUCUAGAUAAAUCAAUUGUAGGAGAUAUUUAGAGAAGAUUGAAGAUACAUUUAGAAAAUAUAAGAAAUGAGUGUAAUUGUAAAGAAUAUUCUAGAGAGUCAUUUGUAACCGUUAAAUAAAGAAUGUGUUGCCAAAAUCCUAGCCAUUCAUUUAGGAGUGACAACUAGGAUAAAUAAGAGGGAUGUCCUUCGACUUGUAUUAAGUCAAAAAAAUAGAAGUGUCUAAUAACACAAGUAGCCUCUUAUCUCAAUUCUCUCUUCCAAAUUUCUUCCAACCUCCAAAAAUCCUUUCCAACAGUGUAUCAUUGUAUGAGUUAGUAGUAGUAGAAAGAGGAGGGCGAUAUUUGUUGGCUUCAUCCCGUCUUUUAGGCUUAUAGAAGGUAGUUUGGGAGGGGGUGUUCACUAAAGUUGAUGCCAAAUCUUUGUUUUUGGAGGCAUAAAAAAAUGAUGAAAUUGUUAAGCAACUCUUAGAAAACAAUACAAUUUGACAUUUUAUAGUUGAGGAAUUGAUCUGAAGAUUGAUAAGCUUAUUUGCUUGGACUAAAAAAGUUUGUUUAAUUUUUUUAAAAAAUGAAAAUGGCUACAAUUAGGUUUUUCUCCCAGCGUUACUAAAGUUUGAUUGAAAUGCCUUCAGAUUUAAAUUUCUAAAUGGUUUGUUGAAUUAGUGUUUAAUUAUCUCAUAGGUUAACUGUCGCUCUUACUAUUGAUGCGUGACUACAAUUGGUAUGUCUGAAAGUGAAACCUAAACCUUUCCUUCACUAGAAGAAAUAUGGGCUUUAGUGUCAGGUGAAAAAAAUGAAAAUUUGGCUUUAAUGUCAUUUCUGAAAAGACGGAUCAUUAAUGUCGGUUUUAAAUCGACAUUAAUGAUAUUUCCAUUUUUAAUUUUUAAAUUUUUUUUUAUUAUGUGAAAACUGACAUUAAAGACCCUUCCCCUUUUUAAUUUCUUUUUUAAUUUUUUUAAGUUGUAAAAAUUAAAUUUCCCUCUCUCUCUUACUUUACCCAUUCCUAUCAAAAUUUUCUCUCUCGAUUUCGAAUUUCCUUCUCCCUUCUCUUCUCAUUCUAUGACCUAAAACUCAUCGUCGUCUUUGUGCCCAUAAUUCAUCCCAAUCGCCGUCGUGGCUAAAACUCUUCCUUCAAGUCUUUCUCCGUCGCCAUUGUGCUUUGGCUAUCGAGAAACGCCUCUGUUGUGCUCAAUCAUCUUCGACCAUUCGCAGUCGCCCAAAACUCUUCCUUCAAGUCUUUCCCAGUCACAGUCGCCGUCGUGCUUCCGCCGCAAGAGUCCCUCGUGUCCAAUCAUCUUCAAAUCCACCACCAUAGCCACCACCGUGCCCAGCCAUUGCAACCAUCGCGUGCCCAGCCGUCAUCUUCGGCUAGCACAGGGCAGACCAAGACAGAGGGCAACUCAACCCGUGAAUACCAAUCUGGUAUUACUUCAUCAGACAUUGGACGAAAGGGAGUGGACUACAGAGGCCCUUUCGAGCCUUCUUCUGGAGGUUCAAAGAAUUUUCAUACGCUUUUUUUUAGGCAUCAAAAUAGAUCAUUGAAUCAAUCUUUAGUAGGUUCUAAUUUCUGUUGUCUGCUUUUUGUUAUUAACAUAUUGGUAUGUGGAUUUAGUUUGGUAAGAAAAUGUAAUGGUAAAUAGAGAGUUGAUUUGGAAGAUAUGAAGAGGAAGUGGGCAGUGGGUUAAUGGAGAUUGGGGUUUAAAGGUAAAGAAGGAAAGUACCAAAGAGAGUGAAGAAAUGAAAUAGUGAAUGAUAAAUAUAAAAGGUAACUACAAAUAAGAGAAAGGGAGAGAUUUAGUUUAGCAUUGUUUGGAAAUUGGAACGUAAUAUUCACUUCUCUAUUUUCCUCAAUUUAAUUUAGGAUUAACUUUUGAGACAUUUUUCACUGACUUCGUGUUAUUAACAUAUUGGUAUCUGGAUUAUUUUGGUAAGAAAAUGUAAUGGUAAAUAGAUAGUGUUGAUUUGGAACUUAUGGAGAUGUAGUGAGAAGUGUGUUAAUGGAGAUUGAGGUUAAUAGGGUGAAGACUAGAUUUAUAUUAAGUGUGUUAUAGGGACUGUAAGUUCAUCUUUUGUUUUUAAACAUAUAAUAAUUAUUUGUGUUUUAUUUCUAUUUCUCUAAUCUUAAAAUGUUCUUAUUAAUUCUUAUACUUUAGUUUAUGUAGUAGUAAUCUUUGUUUAUUUCAAGUUUGGAAAUUUAUUUGACAAAGGUUUAAUGUUGGAGACUACACUUGUAACAUCUCGAACUCUAGGGUACCUUAUUAUAUAUAUGUGUGUAUAUAUAUCUUUUUUUUUAGAAAAGAAGUUAAGGGAGAAAGAGAUUUGGAAGGUUAAGAUAAUAAUAAUAUACAUUUAAUAAUAUUGUUAUUGUUGGAAUUUUUUGUCCUAAAACUCGUAGUUUGUAAAUCAUAUUCUAUUCAAUAAAGUUGUUAUUGAGAAAUUAAAUAUUAUAAUCUUAAAUCCAAUAAAUCAAAGUUCCAAGGCUAUUUUUUGAAUAAACUUGAACUUUAUGUGUAAACAUAAACGUGGAUCAAGUUCGAGUAUAUAGCCUAAAUAGUCUAUAGUAUAUGAAAUAAAGGUUGGGCGCCUUAUUUUGAGAGACUAUGGAUGCGGCCCACUUUGUUGUACAAACGAAGUGAUCCUAAUCGUUCAUGUAGAGACAUGAAAGUGGGGGCAUCCUAUGUAAAAUGUUUACAUAAGACUGAACCAUGAAUUAGUCAUUUUUACGUUAUAACACCGUUUACUGUUUAAAACUGACUAUCUCAAUUACUGAUGACCUAGGUAACUUAGUCUUAAUCCUGAGUUAACUAUGAACUCCUGUUCAUACGAGAUUAUCCUUAGAUCUGCAUAGGUGAGGGCAGCUCAUCAGCGUUGGCCCAAUAAGCCUCCCAUUUCAGGGGUAAGAUCGGGUGGAUAGCUGGGAACAUAGGGUACAAGAUGGAAUUCACUCCUACCCGCUUUAGGGUUAGUAGAUAGGUUGCUCUCUUAAGCACUGAAUCCAAGUCUUGAACAAGGGGCCCCACCCUCUCAUUGGCCCGAGAGGGAUUAAGUUUAUAGGUUGAACCUUAAACCAAUUGUUCAAUAGUGGAUUAGUGGGACUUAAGGAGCAAGAUGUAAUCUUGGGGGUAAAACGGUAUUUUGACCCAGCCAAGGUUACGAGCAACCUGUGAAGGAUUAACUUACUGAUUAUGGUUUUAUCAAAUGGACACAAAUAUAUCUAUAGUGAGGGGAGUGCAACUACGGGACUUUAGUGGAAUGACCCGUUAGUUAACGAAUGUUGAUUAACUCGGUUUAAAAGAGUUUAGCUAGUUAAUCUUGAAUCGUUGGAGCCCAUGAUCUAUAGGUCCAUUAGGUUCCUCUGCUAGCUCAUAUGGAUUAAACUUAGAACAGUGUGAUGAAAUAAGUCGAAUUGUUCGAAUAGGGAGAAGAAAGGAAAACCGACAUAUACAGUGAUAUAAUCGUCGGUCUUCUAAUUAGAAAUAGAGCUUUAUGUUUUACAUACUAUAAGUAUGAAUGUGGAUUCAUACUAAGAAGCUCGGAAUUGGUCAAAAAUAGUAAAAAGUCAAAAUGUUGACUUUUGACUUUGAAAAGUCAAACUUUGACCGGCCUUAUAUUCAAAUGUGAUUUGAAUUUUGGAAAAAUGAAUGCGGAUUCAUGCUCGGGAGGUUGGAA